Molecule: long non-coding RNA, 68738 nt
Filed under: Cucumis sativus (cucumber)
Lineage: Eukaryota; Viridiplantae; Streptophyta; Magnoliopsida; Cucurbitales; Cucurbitaceae
Description: long non-coding RNA (CSAT_LNC002840)
Source: RNAcentral
GUUGGGGCAGGUGAUUAUGGUUAUACAAUUUUUGUCGAUCAGGUGUUUGGUUUUGAUUGGGCCAGGCAUAGAGGUUGUAGAGAGAUGAUUGAGUAAUGCUUUCCCUGUUCUUUUCGUGACAAAGAAAGGUUUUUUGGCUAGCUUGGGUGUGUGUUAUUGUGGAGGCCUUGGGUUGAGAGAAACAAUAGAAUUAUUAGAGGUUUUUGAGAGGUCUCUGAGUGAGGUGUUGUCCUGUAAUAGAUUCAACGUGUCCCUUUGGAUUUUUGUGUAAAAGUUGUCGUUUUUUUUUUGUGUGUGUUUUGCUACGUUUUAUUUUGUUUGAUUGAAAGCCAUGGUUCCUUUCUUGUGGGUUCUUCUUUAAAGUAGGUCUAUGUAUUCUUUUUGUUUUUCUCAAUGAGAGAGAGAGUGAUCAAAACUUAAGAGGCCAUUUUUUGCUUCUCUAUCAUUAAAUUUCUUUUUCCGGAUGCUCUUCCUUUCCAUUUAUAUGUGAUUGCUUAUUUUGGACAAGAAUUGGAAAUAAAUUGUUUAGGUUGCCUCUUUUUUUUUAAAUGAAACUAUGUUUUCCCCUUUCUCCCAAGGGCCUUGGCUCCUUUUGAGUCUCAUUGUUUCUGUGAGGCCUACAAACUAAUUCUGUUGUCUUAAUUCUCAACCUUUCACUGUAAAACAUGCUAUCGUUCCUGGCUAUGUUCAAAAUUUACUUCACCCUUAUAUGUGCUGACUGAAGGAGCUCUCUACAGAUGGCAGAGCAUGUGGCAGUCACACCAUCACCAUGUAUCAAGCUACAAAUUUGGAGAGCUCCAUUCAAAGUGAAAAGCCCCGCACUAUGCAAUCUCAGGUUUAAAAAAGAACAGAGGUUAACUGAUUUUUCUUAUUUGCUAACCUUUAGUUUUAUUUUAUCUAAGACAACCCUUCUUCCAUUUUCUGCAUUCAAUAUAAGCCCUAAUUAUGUUUGUUUUGUUUUUUUUCUUUUCUUGUGUAUCUAGUCUAGGAGUCUUGGUAAGAUAUGGUUAGGAAGUGAUUAUUAAACUGUGAACUUAUUUUUAUGUGCACUAUUGCUGAGGGGUUAGAGAUAAAAUAAGUAUAAACUGAAUGCAUUGUUCAUAUUGAUUCUUCAUAUGUAGAAAGUACAAUUGACAUUCUUUCAUUUUUUGUAUUCUAGAAAAUCCUCUUCUGAGAGCUAUAAGUUCAUUAGGAUCUCAACUUGGAGAAGCCAUGAGCUUAUUGGUUCUUGUGGCUCAAACUUAAUUGUAAAUCCUGCUCCCAGGAAGACCUUCAGAGAGCAUGCUUACCUAAGGUCUUUGGUAAAUGUCGAUGGAACAACAGCCUCCGAGGCAAUUUUUGUUGAUCAAUUGCUUUUGAUGACCAGUAUAUUUCUAACAUAUAUGGCUGGAGUAAUACCUGUACCAAAGUCUAAUCAACGUGGAAAUAUCAACUCUCAGACCAAUUCAGUCUUAGAUAACCAAACCUUUUCUGGUAGGUAAGGGUGCACAGUUUACAAGUUUGAGAUCUGUUGUUGCUAACUAACAUAAUUCACUGUUUUCUCCAUUGUUAUUUGUUGUGUAUAUCUGCACUUUUUGUCUGCUUCGGUUUAUUUUGAGGUUUCAUAUUUUAUUUGUAUAUAUUUAUUAUUGCAGUGGCAUGAAGACUGAUGGUCAAAUUAAUCCGAAGCAUGCAUUAGAUGUAGUUAAAGGAAAAAUUUUGGAUUUUCUAGAUGCUUUUGAACGUAGGAAAAGUAUGGAAACCGAUGUUCUCGAAUUUACAGAAUGUCAGGCCAAGCGACCCCUAUGCUUGAAUGCAAUUGGUGAGGGUCCGAGGUUAAGAUUGCUUUGGGCUUCUUUUCAACUAAUCGAGGAAGAGGCAGGCAUCUAACUGUACUGUACCCUCUUGUCACAUUAUAUUCUAUACGUUUGUUUUAAUGUUUGGGUGGUUUUUACUUGUUACGACGAACUUACUUGAACAAGAUUUGUUCUAUAGGUUGUACAACUGUGCCGUUGAGUUCCAAGGUUGUUACUUGUUAGGUUAAAUAGUUUAUAAAUUUGAGAUUGUAAUAUAAAUUUGUUUAUUGGUGUUGAAACUUGUAGAUUGAUGAGAAAAGGAAUCUACUUUUCCUUGUUCUUUCCAGAAUCCCUUAACUACAAAUCAUUUAGUUUUAACAAUAGCCUAUUGUUGUACAUUCUGUUCCUUACGUGGGAUCUACAAAUUUUCGUUGAGCUGUGUUAUGUGUUGUGUGUGCUUGUUUUUUUUAUAAUUUUUUUAAAAAAUAUGAAAUUAUAUGAUGAUAUCUUCAUAAGUGCUUGCUUCCACAACUCCGGAAGUAGGGGUCUUCACCCCAUUCAUCCAAAGAAUUUGGCCUUGCUUUUUAAGUAUAUGUCCGCUCAGUAGUUGAGUGACAAGUAUUCCAAUGGACAAUCUGCAUGAGCAAAGAAUAAAUGAUCUUGGCACUCUUUCUUUGAAACUGCCUGGCCACUAAGCUCACCUAUAGGUUCCAGCUUUCAUUCUCUCUCCAAGUGGGUAUCCACCAAAAGCUUAAUUACUUUCCUUGCUUUCAUGAGACUUUAGUUUAUCGAACAAUUUGGCAAUUUUUUUUUAGGAAUUUGAAAAUUUUCAGUAUUCAAUUUCAUUGUGCAAAAUUUUGCAUCCUUUGUUAAUUUGAUAUCUGUUCUGCAGGUCAACAAUAUUUCCAAUGCUACUAUUCAGAGCAUGGAUGAUUUGUCUAAAAUAUUUUCUGAAUUUAUCCUAAAAUCCCCUCGACCUGUAUGCAUGUCUUGGCUGAGAAACGAACUGUCGGUGGAAAAUAAUGAUUCUAGUAAGGUACUUCCUGGAAUAAAUUUUAUCUUCCAAAUCUGCUUUUCUAGUCAUUUUCUCUUAGCUUUACUAGUUAACACUCUUGCCUUUUCCUUUCCUUGAAUGUCUACAGGCAUUUCUUUCUUUGAUGUCUGAAAAAUUUAAGGCAGAAGACAACAUUUUACCAGGAAUUAAGAAGUCUGGCAAGGAAGAGCUGUUUGCAGAAUUGAUGCACUUUCUUAGUUUUGGUGCUCGCAGGUACUUUGUUUACUUAAUCUUGCUCCAAGUUUCGGAAGUUCUAUCACAUUCGCGAUGUCUAGGCUAUUCUGUAUAUUCAAAGGGAAAUCAGAAUUCCAUUUUGGUACUCUCUAAUUCUUGCCUGCUUGGUAGGGCUGGGUAGGGCUUCAAUACUGUUAGCUUGUUUAAUUUGUGGCUAGAAUAUUUAUGUUAUGCACAACUUUUUUCACUAAAAGAAACAAAUGAUUUCAUAAAAAUUAUUUAUAAUAUAUAAACAUCUAAUUAUUGGUUACCUAUUCAGUAUGAAAAACAAGAAACAUGUAUAAAUCUAAUGAAAUGUUUACCAAAAAACAGAUCAACUUUUUUGUGACUUAUUAUUAUUAUGAUUAUUUAUAGGAAACUGUUAGGCCCCUGAUUAUCCAUACAUACAAACGAAAGGGUAAGAAAGUAUUUACCCGUAAGAGACAGCUAUGGAAGAGAGUAUAGGAGAGGGGAAAAUAUCUGAUGGGACCCACUAAUGAUGAGGUAAAGAAUGUUUUGGGGAUUGAUGUAGGCAGGUUUUAUUUUGGUAACAGCUGCUGUGGCUUUUAGAGGGAGAGGUUGCCAACCUUUUUGAAGGAGCUGAACGUUAUUAUCAUUUCUUUGUAAUUCCUUGCAUUUGGUUCUUUCUGCUUAGCUUGUAAGAACUUAUUUCAAUUGCAAUAUAUCUGUUAAGGUACCUUGUACUGAAACUCAGAAAAACUCCCAGACAACAAUAACAAGAUAAUAAAACAAAGAAAUACUCUGAUUAAUCUAUUGAUAGAGCAAUAUAUCCAGUUCACAACAUAACAUGAGAAUUCGAGGAAAGAAGAGUUAAAAGGAAAAUAAAGACAACAAGCAUAUAGUGCCCAGCUCCUUUGAGAACGCUGGAAUCCUCUCCCUAAAAGCCUUUAGCAGCUUUUACCUAAAAGAGGCCUAGGGUGACAAUCCCAAAACAUUCCUUAUUUAUACUAACAUUCAAGUGAGACCCACAGCCUUUUCUCCUCUAUCAAUUUGUCUCUCCUGGUACAGCCACACAUAUAUUUCCUCUCUUGCCCCUUCUUUUAUAAGUAUGCAAAUUUGGGGGUUUAACAGUAUCUCAACAGAGUGCUGCCUCUCUUUCUACUAUUGUUGAGUUUCUUAGUUUCAGGUUGGAGAAUCCUAAUAGAAACAUAAACCAAUUUAUUGAUUACUGAAAUUGAUUACAAAAGAAUUAUUAUUAAGAGUCUUUUUUUUUUUGCAAUGAAAACAGCACUUUUCAUUGAUGGAUAGGAGUUAGAGGGGUCAACAGACACACCUGAAUAUCUCAACUAGGUUGGUACACCCAUAGCACCCUCAUCAUCUCCCAUUAUCAGAGUAUAAUUACAAAAAAAACACCUCAGUGAUAAAAGAGUGUAGAUAAGCUUUAAUUACAAAAUGGAGGAGAUAAAUUACUCCAAGAUAAAAGUUGAAGAUGAAGUAAAAUCCUUCGGUGCUUAUCUGAGAAAGCUCAAGCAUUUCUUUCCAUCGUAAUUUCAAUAAAAAGCUGUAAUAAAGUUGCACCAAAGAAAUUUGUUCUCUUUUUUAAACAGAUGUAGAUGGUGAAGAGUGAAGACCGCCUUUGGUCAUGUAAUGUAAUAAACCAGCCAAAAGACUCGUAGAAAUGUCCAGAAUGCUGAAAAUACCAAUCUGUCUCAUGAUUCUUCAUGCCAAGGUGACAGAAACUUGGUGAGAUAGCUAGCCAAGGAGAUCUUCGUUAGAGCUAUUCACAUGUAUUAAGCAAGCAUGGCUUAGGUCUCAAAUCAAGAAUUUUGCCUUUUUGGGAUUAGUACCAUUUGCAAGAUUUUGAUUAGAUGUGGGUCUCUUAGUUAAUGAGCUAGAAGGAACGUGCUCUCCAAAGACCAAAUAUCAAAAGUCAUUGAUUAGUUGUAACAAAGGGCGGAAGAAGGGAAGGUGAGGCUUAUUACCCAAUUUCCACCUCAUUAAGAUUUCUUAUGAAUAAAUUCCAUAAUCUUGUAAUUGGAUUCUAUACGUCAAUGAUGGUAGCUUCCCUUUUCUAGUGUAAGAUGUGAUAAAUAAUAGAAUGUUUUAGUUAAAGAUUUUGGCUCCGAGACCAAAAAAUCCUUCAGAAUAGAGUUUUGUCUCCCCUUACAACGCCAGAGUCUAAAUGCAAUAUGACUAUGGACACGAUGCCUCAAUUUUUCAACAGGCUUCCAAGGCCUUUUGAUGAAGAUGUGGACUUUUCUCCCGGCUUGUAGUUGAACUGGGUUGUAAUACAUAUUAGCAACAAUUUUUCUCUGCGGAGCUCCUUUUCGAUAAAAGCAUCAAAUCCAUUUGGUGAACAGGGAAAUACUUUUCAGAUGAUUAUAAAAAAUUCCCCAUCCCCUUCCUCUAUGGGAGCUUAAAUGGUAAACCAUUUGACCAGAUGACAUCCUUUUUUCAUUCCUAUCAUUAUUCACAAAUUGAAAAAGAAGAGAUUGAACAGUUGGUGAGGAAGAUAUUGGUUGGGAUAAUGCAUCAAAGAAUCGGUUCUUUCUCCAAGCCUUAUUCUACUUACUAAAGAAAGGGAUGGCAGGGUCUUGUAUGGACUAUUGUGCUUUAAACCAAUCAUAUCACCUGAUAAAUUUCCAGUUCUGGUUAUGGAGGAGUGAUUGGAUAAGUUGUAUGGAGCAACUGUAUUCUUGAAGAUCACCAUCAACCAAAUUAAGAUACUAUUGGGUUGGCUUAAGGUAGGAGAUAUGCAUAAAAUGGUUUUCAAACACAUGAAGGUCAAGUAAUGCCCUUGCAACCACGCUUCGACAUUCCUGUUCAUUAUUAUGUUGUAGCCAUUUCUACAAAAAAAAUUCCUGGUUUACUUUGAUGAUUCCUUGUGUGCGUGUUCAAGUUGUUUUCAAAAUUGGAAAAAGAAAAUCAUUUAAUUCAAACAUCUUUUCUUGCGUGUCUAGACAAAUAUGUAUCUGACGUGUGUCUGUGCUUCUUAGCUUAUAACGGGACCAUUCUGGGCUUUUGUUUUUGAGCAGGGAUUAUUGCUAUUAUGACCAUAGCCUGUAUGUCAAGCAUGGAAUUUCAAUAUUAGAAGAUUUGCUGAUAACCUUCGCUGAUGGGAUUGCAAGUAUGUAUCUAGAAUUUAUUUCUGUUGACAGCAGUUUCUUUGAUGAAGUGGAUAAUAUUGGCUUGGCAUUGUGUACCCUAUCAACACGAGCACUCCAAAGACUGCGUAAUGAGGUACUAUUUUUCUUUCCCUUUUUGCCUGUGGUGGUUAAUGAGGUUGAUGAAUCCUGAAUAGCUUCUCUAAUUUAUUAUUUUAUGACAAAUUUGGGAACUCCAAGUUUUCUUUUCCUUACAUUUUACUAUUUUAGAGCCAAGUAGUGAAUUUCAUUUACCCGUAUAUUGUCAUAUGGGAAAAAGAAAACAGGAACAAUUCACUGUCUUGUGUGAUUAUUUCGUUCCUGUCCCUAGCUAUAUUCUUUUGUUUGCCAUUUCACUUUUCAAUGUUAUUCUGCUUUGAAGAUGUAUGAAGAAAAUUUAUUGAAACAACAUACUUCUCCCUUUUUAUGUUGGAGAAGACAAUUUCGGAGCACAGUCUUUUGCAAUGGGAACUGGUUGAAUUUUAAAAUUCCCUUGUGGAAAUCUCUAGGUCAUUUGGGGACUGAUUGAUUUUUUUGCAUAGAAGAGGGAGGACAUUUGUUACAGUAACAUGAGUGGUAUUGGUUAAAGUAUGAAGAAAAUACGUUUGUCAGAUUAAAACUGAUGGUAAAACAGAAAAGGAUGAUUUGAAUCAUUCAAAAUUGUGUCGUAUAGUUUGUAGGAGGAAUAGACUGCUGUAGUUUGAGAUUUUCUUUUGCAAAAUUAUUUCCGUACAUUGCAUAAAAUUUUAAGGGUGAGUUUUGUUAAUAGGUGGCUAUGAACCAAUGGUUGUAUCAAAACAUCGAGGCCAUUGUAUCGAUGUAUGAAGACCGGUUUGAUCUAUGUACACUUAGUAGUCAACCGAUUGACCUACCAGGCAGUGGACAGGUCAAUAUUGAUAAUUGGUGGAUGAAAUAUAUCCUCAGAAGAAAAGAAACUUUGUCUUCUCAGGUAUAUUAUGUUGUGAUACGCUCCUUUGCCAUGCCUGUAAAACGCACCAAGGAGUUGAGAGCUUUAAGGGGAUGGUAUGUUCCUUCAAUAUAAUUUAAUAUAAUUCUCAUUUUUAUGCAUACUUCUGAAAUCCAAUUUUGUGGUGGACAGUCAUUUUUCGGGUAACAGUUUCUGAAAUAGCUUUAGCAGGAGCAAUUUGAUUUGUUAAUAUAAUAGGGAUUAACUAUGAAUAUUGUUGUUUAAAUAUAAAUGUAACUUGUUAAUUGAACUAACAGCUAAUAAUUGAAGUUUGUUGGUUGGAACCAUUUGACCAGGAGUACAGGAGUUGUAUUGGGUUAAAAGGAAGUGAAUGAUAUGAUGUUGAGUAGUGUUAUGGGUGCAAGGUAAAGCAAAAAAAUUGAAAAGAUACAUUAAACUGACCAUAACUGUUAUCGGUUCAGGUUGAAAAUGAUCAGUUUGGUGGUUUUAGUUUGAAAAUGAAAAAAACCAAAAUUGUUCAGUCAGAUUUGAGUUUGGCAUAAGAAUAAAUCGAGCAAACCAAUUGAUCUAAAAAAUAAUGGAGUUUAGUUGGCAUGAAAUUAGAAUUAGUAUCCAGUAGGUCACGAGUCCCCAAUAUGCACAGGCCUGCUUAACCAAACCGUGUCUGAGAGUUAUGUCAAAUAACAUGGUUUAGUUGGCGUAAAAUUGGAACUAGUAUCCAGUAGGUCACGAGUUGCCGAUAUGUGUGUGCCUGCUUUGCCAAACAGUGGACGACCAGACCUUAGUCCGUUACAGAUAAUUCGGUUAUAUACCUUUAGUGGUUCAGUUAGGUUCCCUGAAUAUUGGCAUGCCUGCUUACCCAAAUAGUAAACCACCAGAUCUUAGUUAGCUGGUUUGAGAUGGUUUGGUUAUAACUUUAGUGGUUCAAUUAGGUUCCUUGUAUUUUCUAAUAAAUUUUGUGGUUCGAUUUCACGUGUCCAAAUUGAUUACACCCGGUUGGAAAUAUGUUGGAAACAAGGAGCUAGUUUGUUGUUUAUAGCCUCAAGGGUAUUUUUGUAAUUUACUGUACCCUAGUUUUAUUUCCUUAUCUGUUUGGAAGUAUUGUAGCGUAUAUAUAUUCUUCCCCCUUGUAUUAUUUGGAUUAUUAGAAAAUAAAAAGAGCUGCUUUUAUUGUGGUUUUUUGUUAUGGAAAUCCUAGGAUUUGGAAAUUAGGAACCCAAUUGAUGAGUCCCUAAUGUCAAAUUCUAAAACCCUCAAAUCAAUUCAGCAAUAGCCCAAGGAAUAGAUUAGAUUUGGAUUACCCUUUGAUCGAACCCAAUUGCCCCCCUAGCUCUGGUUCUAAACCAACACAAACUCAAAGUAUGACUGAACUUAAUAAUAACUUUUGUGCUGAGGAUGAUAUGGUUGAUGUGGUUGAGGAGGACAAGACUAAUAUGAUAACUCCAAGAGAGAACAACGUUGCCAUAAGUGAUGAAAUUCUAGCAGAAAAACAGAUUGGUGAGACCAGCCCAAGAUGACAGACAAACCAGGGAGUUAUGCCCUUUCUUGACACCCUUUCUUGACAUGCCCAUUGCCUUGAGAAUGGGUACUAUGUUUUGUGUGAAGCACUCAAUGCGUAAUUGUAUAUCUUACAGUAAUCUAUCGUCUAAGUUCAAGGCGUUCACUGCAAGUCUCAAUAUUGCAAGAGUACCAAAGAACAUACAUGAAGCUAUGGAGAGUCCUGAGUGGAAGAUUGCUGCACGGAAGAAAUGGGAGAGCGUGAGAAGAAUAAAACAUGGGAUCUCUGCACUAUUCCUAAGGGCACAUGACAAUGGGAUACAAAUGAGUGUUUACUGUGAAGUACAAAUUAGAUGGAACCUUAGACACCCAAGGCAAGGCUAGGCUUACUGUGAAGUACAAACUUUUCUCUUGUGGUAAAGUUAAACACAGUUGGUGCUUUUUUGUCUGUUGCAGUCAACAAAGAGUGGCCUCUAUCAAUUUGAUGUUUAGAAUGCUUUCCCAAAUGGUGAUUUGGAAGAAGUGUACAUGAGUCCUCCUCCAGGUUUUGAAGAUCAGUUUAAUCACCAAGUUUGUAAGCUUCAAAAAGUCUCUUUAUGAUCUGAAACAAUACCCCAGGGAAUGGUUCUAUAGAUUGACCACCUUUGUUAAAUCUAAAGGCUUCACCCUACAAAGAACACAUGGAAGCUCUAAAUCGUGUUCUGAUGCAUUUGACAACUACUCUAGGUAAAGGUUUGAUGUUCAGGUUACUGACAAAAAAUGUAUUGAGGCUUAUACCGACUCUGAUUGAGUAGGAUCAAUUACUGAUAGAAAGUCCACUGAGAUAUUGUACCUUUAUGUGGUGUAAUUUUGUUACUUGGAGGAGUAAGAGGUAGGGUGUUAUUGCUAGGAGUAGUGUUGAAGUUGAAUACAGAGUUAUGAGUUUGAGAAUGUGUGAAGAGAUCUAGUUGCAGAAAGUUUUGUCUGAUCUUCACUUGGACAGUGAGUUACAUAUGAAGCUCUUCUAUGAUAAUAAAACUGCUAUAAGUAUAGCUAAUGGUCCAGUUCAACAUGUCAGAACAAUACAUGUGGGGAUUGACAAACAUUUUAUAAAGGAGAAACUUGAUAGCGAGAGUAUCUUUAUUCCGUACAUUUUGUCCAGUGACCAGUCACAAAUUGUUGAAAUUUUCACCAAAGGAUUACUCAUACAAAACUUUCUCGUGUUAGCAAGUUGGGUCUAAUUAUCAUUUACACUCCAACUUGAGAAGGAGUGUUGGAAAUACGUUGGAAAUAAGGGGCUAGUUGAUUGUUUAUUAGCCUCAAGGGUAUUUUUGUGAUUUAUUAUACUAUUGUUUUAUUUCCUUAUUUGUUAUGGCUUGUUGUAGCCUAUAUAUAUUAUUCCCCCUUGUAUUCUUUGGAUUAUUAGAAAAUAACAAGAGUGGCUUCUAUUGUGUUUUUUUCUUCAUGUACUAGGGUUUUCCAUGUAUACCUUGUGUCUUCUUCUUCUUUUCAAUACACCCAAGUAGUGUUCUGGAGAGAGAUAGUUGGAGUUGAGAGGUACUUGACCUUCGUGGGCAUGUGGGAUCAAAAUAAUCUUAAUCUUAAGAGGGUUUCGAAAUUCAAAUGAUAUAAGUUUCUAUAAUGAAGCUUAUUUUCAUAGUCUGGGUCAUUUUCUUGUGGACAUUAUUUUUGUAUGCUCUUGGGUUAUUGAGAUGAGCGUUCUCCAUUAUUCAUUUUUUUUUAACAAAGAAUACAUUGGUUCAUAUGUAUGCUUUCGCGUAUGCAUAAUGAACUCCCAAAAUAUGACAGAGUCGUUUCAUAAUUAUUUGCAAAGGGUGUUUUCCAUAAGACACUUGUCUUUGGUGGUGGCUUAAAUGAACAGAAUUGUAAUCUUAUGAAUAUUGCAGGAGGUAUUACUUCAGCCUGUUGAUUGAAUUAUCCGACAUUACAAUGCCGUUGAUAAGAGUAGUAAUCGAUAAAAUCAGUAGCGGAAUAUCGUUCUUUCUAGUCUGUCUGAUUGGAAGAUCUUUAGGGCUCAUCUAUACAGGAAUCAGGCAGUCACUGCGGUGGAAAUGAAGGUUUGUUAGUUCUGAUUUCUAUUUCGUUGUUUUCCCAUUAUUUCAGUUCCCUGAUAUUUUUUUGUAGUUUGUAUCAACUUGAAAAUUUGGUUUAGUUUUUAUCAAUUGCAAUUUGAGAUAACAUAGAACGUAGUACAUUCUUUUUUUCUUUUUGCCUUUUUAUCACAUGAAUUUUGAUGAAAAUCCAUAUUGCAGAUUGAACACGUAGUGUUUUUUUCUUUUUCUUUUUUUUUUUUAAUCUCUGAAAGAUUGAAUUGCAUUCUUCUAUUCCCCUGGAAAAAAAAUUACAAAUACCCAUUAAAAAAUUUAUUUGAAUUGAUGAAAUUCCAAUAGUGUUACCAUGGGCCAAUUUUGAAACCAUUGAGUUCGACAGGAUUUGAGCAACAGCUCUUCUAUUUAAUCAAAUUUGGUUCUUCUAAUUCGUGAAUUUGAGCUAUACUAAUGAGAACAAGUGUUGUUUUUUUAAUAUUAAAAUAUCAUUUUAAUUCCCAAAUCUAAAUAAAAUAAAAUCUGGAGCAUAUAAAUAAAUAUAACACUUAGAUCUAAAUAAAAAUGCAUGAUAUGCUUCACCUGUUGAAAUCUUACUCCAAGUGACAUCAUAUUCAACAUUCAUUAACUAAAUUUAAAUCGUAUAUCUCAUAACUAAUUAAAUCAAAUAAGAUAAGAACUAGGUUAACAUCAUCUAGACAAGAUAAACUGAAAAUAAUAAAAACUAAUAAAAUAAAAUAAAAUAAAUUGCUUCAUUUUGACAUUGAAUUUUCACUCAUGUUUUUCUUUUUUAUUUAAACUCAUUAUCUAAUGAUUAUUUUCUUUAAAUUUAAAUUUAAAUUUCUAACAAAAUAUUGGUCAUUAAAUUAAAUUAAAUUAAAUUUAAAAAUAAGUUAAAAGUAAAAAAUAAUAACAAACAAACUUAAGAAAACAAACAAAAUGAAAUAAAUUUUUUUAAAAAAUCUCAUAGGACGACUCUCCCUUUUUCUCCUUCAUGAACGAGUGUUGAACACUAUUUAUCUAACCUUCAUUAAUUCAAUUUAAAUCAUACAUUUCAUGCCAAAUAAAGUGAAAUAAAAUAGUUAGGUUAACCGACUUUUGACAUUCAUAAAAUAUAAAAUCUAAAACCCUAAAUAUAUAUUUUUUUUAAAAAAAUAAAUAGAACGAAAAUAAUGAAAACUAAAUGAAAAAGAAAACACAAAAAUUGGUUAAGUUUGGCAGAGAUUAGAGACAAACAUUAGUUAAAUGAAAUUCCUCAUAUAAAUAAAUAUAGCACUUAGACUUACGUAAAAUGAUAUGCUCAACCUAUUUUGGAAUUUUAGUAUUGAGUGAAAUAAUUUAUCCAACAUUCAUUAAUUCAAUUUAAUCACACUUCUCAUUCUUAAUUAAAUAAAAUAAAAUAGAAUGUGUUCCUAGUAAAUAAAAUCUGAAACCCUAGAGUUUAUAAAAAUUUAAGGAAAAAAAAUUAGAUGAUGAAAACUAAAAGGAAAACAAAACAAAAAAAAUUGCUUCUGUUAAUUAGCAGUGGUUAGAGACAAACCAAAGCUCAAAACAACUAUUAAACACUAACAUUCAAAAUUAAAAGAAAUCUCCUCAAGCAUAUAAUUGAGAAUUAUUCUAACAAUUUAUAUAUAACAACUAUUUAAGUAAACAAGAAUCUAGACAUGAAUAAAAAUAAAUAUCAUACUUGGAUCUAUAUUAUAUAUAAAAUGAUGGGAGUGGAAAAACUUAAAUUUUGUCAUUUCUUUUUAUUCAUUUACUUGUUUUUUGGUUUUAUUGUAAUUUUUUUAAUUUGGAAUUAAUUAUUAUUGUAAUUAUUGUAUCAUUUCUCCCAAGGAUGCUUAUUCACUUCUCAUAUCUCAUUCAACCUUUCAAAAAAAAUUUAAAAAAUUAUUUGUGCAUAAGUACCUUUUUUUUAUCACAAGUUACAACAAGAGCCUAACCACGAACAAGAAAUCAAAUCAUGUUUUUCAUUAUUAUUUUGUUGUCUAUUUUUUAUAUAGGGUUUAGGAUUUACAAUAAUUUGAAAUUAAUUAAUGUAAUUAUUUUUUUUAUUUGUAAUCAUCUACAAUUUUUAAUAAAUGUUUGGAUAUUAAACAUACAUUAGGAUGUGAAUGUCAAAAUAAUAUAUAUAUGAAAAUGUUGAAUUGACUAUGUUCAAAUUUUAUAUAAGUUAAGUUAAAAAUAUAACUUUUUCGAGAUUUUCACCGGCAUCGUACAUGUUGUUUACUAGUUUAAAUAAAUGGCAUUUAACUAGUAUAUGGUAAAUAGAGGGGUGUUUUAUUUCAAGCUAAACCUAACAUUGCUAUAUUUUUCACAAAAGUAGUAAUGGGCUAGAAACUUUCGAAAACUAAACAUCCCUUCCCAUUUCGACUGGCAAUCGUGUUUCUAUUCUAUUCUCUUUGUAAGAAAUUUAGGGUUUUGACGAAAGAAAACGCUUAGAAAGGACAAGUUUUAGCUGUUGAAUAACGUAUUGGUAAGUCAUGUUUGAUCGUUACGCAAAAUACUUGUAUUCUGAAACUGAUUUUCAAAAUUUCCUCUAAUUCAGUUAGUGUGUGUAGCAAAUAGGGUUUCGAUGCAAGAGGAUGAGUUGAAAGUUCAUAUAUUGGUGGUGGAAUACCAUUUUAGUAAGAAAUGUCUUGAUUGUUGUUCACUAAACUUGUUUAAGUAUAUUAUGUAUAUUAGAGAAUAUUUGUAAUGAAGCUGUAAUUGAGCUUUAUUCCAAGCACUUUUAAAUUUCCGAAGGAAAAAAAAAGUGCGAAAUCAAAGUAGGGAACUAACUUCUGCAUUCGAUUUCCUUCAAAAAGUUCAUGUUUUCGUGUGGAAUGCACAUGUGGUUUCUUCUGUAUUUCACAAAUGUGUUGUGGUAUAUUAUUGAUUUAAUUAAUGCCAUGUUAGUGUUAUAUGUGGUUGGAACAUUCAUGUGAUUAUAUGCAAUAUUAAUAUUAGUUUUGGUAAGAAAAUGUGUCACUACAAGAAGUAGGGGUUCUCCUGACGCAUAUAUGCAUCGACAAAAAUCAUAAAACGCGUCGAGAAUGUCUAUCUCGAUACAUAAAGCCACAUCAGAGAGAGCAUCAGUAGUACUACGUCGGGAUAGUCAAAACCGACGCGCAAAUUAAACUCAACGAUGUCGGCAAAAGAUUUUGCUCGACGCAUGCUUUGCCGACAGGAAAAAGAUGUCGGAGAAAAGCUUUGUCCGACGUCUGGUCAAAGCAUCAACAAUAGGGUAUUGCUGAUGUUGUCUUCUACACCCGACAUAAAGUAAAUACCGACGCAGCGUCGAUGGACCUUGGCUUGACGUUGCGGCGGCAAAUGCAUCCAUGUCCGAUGCGUUUUGUGCGUCGGAAAAACUUUUCUAUAUUAUUUCUAUAUUUAUUACUAUUAAACUUUUUUUUGCUAUUGGGAUCACAUUCGAUUUAAAUUCAAUCAAUUUUUAAAAAUAAUUGACGUAAAACUAAUAAAAACUUAUGAAAAUACCAAAUCAAAUUUAUAUUAAAAUUAAUUCAAAUAUUAAAAAAGUACACGUUUAUAGGUUCAAAAUUACAUUAAUAAUGAAAACUAAAAUCUAAAAACAUAAUUCUAAGCGCGGUAGAAGCUAGUUCCCCCAUGCCUCCCAAUCUACAAUAACACAAAAUUAAAUUUAGAUAUAUAUCACCAAUAAGAAAUUAAAAAACUUAAAAGUUGAAAAAUACACACCGCAAUGAAAUCAAAGUCUUCCUGUGCUUGAGUGAGUUCUUCAAUCAUCUUCCUCAUUUCUUCCAUCUGUUAGACAUUUUCUUCGUGUUUUCGGUUACUUUCUUGUAUUGCUCGGUCAUUCAAGUCUGUCACUUCCUCAAGACGAGCUUUUAGCUCGAUAACCUCUCUGGCAUGCAUCUCUCGCUCAUAUGACGUAGACAAAGAACUACCAGCAGUGUUUCGAAACUUUGGCUGGAGGCCCCAACCAAGACCUUUUGAGUAACCCGAUCAUCUAUCCAAAACGGUCUCACAUAUCUCAUUUUUAGAGAGUGGUUGAGAACCCUUUGCGAGGGCUAUGACUAAAGUUCCAACAUUUGAUUCUACAAGAAAAUUUUUAUUAAUUAAGUCAAACUUGUAAAUUAAAUGCCUCUUUUUCUUCUUUUUAAGUCUAUAACACUUGUUUUAUUCUUUUAUUCAUACCCUACUUUGUAAAAGGCUAUAGUAAAAAAUGCUAUAAAAAGAGAUCAGUUUGAAACCUGAGUGAAAAUUAGGGAAAGUGAAAUGUAUGGGAUGCAUUAAAUGAGAUUUAAAAAACAUGGGAGAGUGAACCGUAGAUAGUGAGAUUCGUGAUAUUUGCCCCAGAUACUUACAUAUAUCGAAAGAAAAAAAAUGUAAGUAUUUGCUAGCUGACCUCCAGUGACUCGAUUAAUCUUAAAUUCUAGCUAAAAUUGUCUUUGAACCAAUUAAAUUAUAAAAACAAAUUAGAUAGUAACUACUAAGCUGACUGAUUAAGGUUAUAUCAACACCUUAACCUAGCAGAUUAAGUAUAAGGUGGUCAGGAUGUAGGUUGCGAAGUGGUUCGACAUAAACUAGUUUGAGCUCUACGUAUUUGGUUCUGCGCAAUAAUUUUUCACUCAAAGAUAGGAAACAACUAGAAAAUAUGUUAAUGUUAUGAUACAAUUCAUGAAUGGAAUGAAUGAUUAUGAUAUUUACCCAAAUCAUUGAAACUAUAUUAGAACUCUCUUAAAACCAAAUUAAAGUUAUACUCAAGUCAUAACUAAAUUUGUAAUUUAUCCUUAAAUAUCUAUUUCAACAAUGUUGACAAAAAUGUGUAUGCUGCAGUCUGUUUUUAUCCAUUCUGACCAAGCAUUUAUAUAACUAAAAACCACCAAGCAAAUUUCAAGUACAAAGAACUUCAACCCUUAUUAUUUAUUGCAAGCAAAAAAUACAACCUAAGUUUAAUAUCCCUUUUUGCUUGCUUAUUCCACAACUAAACACUAAAAUAUUUGGUUAGAAAAAGAGUCACCAUGCGGCUGUGGCUUUGAUUCCUUUUCCGUUUUCUUUGGAUACUUUCAUUUUGUUCAGAAUCCAAACACAUCUUCAUAUCAGCUAACUAACAGAAAGGGAUCAUCAUGGAGGAAAUCUAAGAAGGAACUGGUUGCCUAAAGAAAACGUUGAUUGCGAUCCUUAUAUAUAAGAGUUUGAAGCAUUUUUCAACUACUGAUUCUUUGAACAAAUUGUCCCACCUUAUAAAUUCCCUGAAUUAUUUAAAACUUGGAAAAAGCAAGACCAAGGAAGGCGGGCCAAUUUAAUGUGGCCGGAGUUUAAUCAUCGGUUGGCUUUAGCAGCAGCUGCUGAUGCUGCCUCAUCCAAUCCCAUAUUUUGUAACUCUUUCAAGAAACCAUUAAAAUCAGCGUCGCUGAUCUUAUAUGGGCUAUGAAGAGGUCCAGGAAACGAACCAUUAGAUACUUCUUCCCUAUAUUCUAAUAAAGCUUUGUUGAUGACAUCUCCAAUUUGAGCAAAUUGCUUACAAAAUUUCGGGGUCACCUGCAAAGGGCAUAAACAAAAGAAGUCAUAACAUCAUAAAAAAAACAUGGAGAAACCUAUACAAAACAAAGGUGGAGUCUGAUAACCUUAGCAUGAUGUGGGUGUUGAAGCAUGCCGAGCAGAUCAUGGUAAACUAGGACCUGAGUUUAAGAAAAUUAAUUAGUCCAACUGCAAAGGACAUUUGACUCGACACUAUGACUGUUGUCAAGUAAUCAAGUACAACAUGAGCAACACACCAAUCAACCUUAUCAAACAAGUAUGAAAGAUGAAACCGACAUUUCUAUUUAAAAGAAAAAAAAAUAAAAAACCAACAAGUAGUCUGAAAUAUUUAAAUAGAUCAUAAACCCUGUCUCUUGACUGAAAUGCAAUGUCCAUUUUCUUCUUCACAUUCUCAUUUCAAUACGAGAGUGGCAUUCAAACCCAAAUAUUAACAAAUUGUUAUUUCAUUUCCACUUGUUAGUGAGUAUACUGUUGACCGGAAAAAAAAAUUUGACUACUCGUGAAUGUCUUCUAUAUUCUGAUGCAUCCACUCCCUUUAGGGGAUCUUGAAACACUUAAAAUAGUUAUACCAUUCACUUCCAAUUACAUUGUACCAAAACUGAAAAACCAUAAAAGAGGACCACUUUGGAGUACUAAACAUGGCAACCUUUCGAUGCUUCUCUUAUUCAGGAGAGAACCUCCAAAUCCUGAACUAGGUAAAGAAAUAAUUUGAAGUUAUUAAUUAUAUGCCAGACCAAACGAGAGACAAACAAACAGCUCAAGGAAAGGAAAUACGUUAAGGAAAGGAAAUAUUAACAAACAAUCAACUAACUUGUCCACUACAGAAAGGCCCUGCUCCAAUGCCCAUGGUGGGAAUACGGAGAGCUGCUGUAGCCGCAGCAGCAACUUCUGGAGGAACACAUUCUAGGACGACAGCAAAACACCCAGCUUCUUGUAGAGAGAUUGCAGUUUCUACCACCUGCAAAGAUGCAUAUUCAGCAUAAAGGCUGAAAUAAACACAAAAAACUAUGCAACAUGACCACAGAAUGGUGUCCAAGAAAUAGCUGCAAACAGUACAAUAAGAGGAAGAGAUAAGUAGAGAAGUGGAGGAACCUUAACAGCACUGGUGAUAUUCUUCCCUUGAGGUCUAAAUCCUCCAAGAACACUAAUGGCUUGUGGAGUAAGUCCAACAUGCCCCAUUACCGCAAUCCCUGCUUCAACUAUAGCUCUUGCUGCUGUUAUUCUAGAAUGGGAACCCCCUUCCAAUUUUAUCGCAUCCAUUCCCCCUUCCUUUAGAAUUCUCACUGCCGUAUCAAUAGCCUGUCAAUAAUACAACACAGUGCUGGAUCAUUUUAAGAAUUGGAGAUGUUCAUCAAGUGAAAAGUUAUUAAACAAUUAGUUAAGAGGUCUAGAAUUCGUUAGUUAGUUAAACAUCUCUUAUCGUGGUAACUACUUAUUUACCCUUCUCACAUGUGUAUAUCAUUGGACAGCCAUUCAAUAAAGCGAGAAAGUCAUUUAGAAUUCUUUUUAGCUUCCAAUACGUUACCAAAGCAUACUUUCCCUCCUGAGUGACUUCUCCUUACUUUGAUCCCUCUCAACCACCUUUCCCUACCAAAACCACUAUGCGUACCGAGAACUCCCAAACUGCAAACCCGAUUCUGUCCACCUCCUCUAAAACUCAAGAAAACGUUCCUCCUACAUCUUAUGGCACUCAACAUUCAAUUGAUCAGAAUCAAGGAAAUCUCAAUCCAUAUUAUCUGCCCCAUAACGACAACACAAGUUUAGUGUUAGUCACUGAGCUGUUAACAGAAGAAAACUACGUUUCCUGGAGUCGUGUGAUGAUCAUCAGACUAUUAGUCAAAACAAAUUCGGAUUUGUCGAUGGAACUCUUCCUCGUCCAAAUGAGAAUCUCCUUCCCUCAUGGAUCAGAAACAAAAACAUUGUCAUAUCCUGGAUCUUGAACUAAGUAUCCUAGCUGAUUUCAUCCAGCAUCUUCUUCGCAGAUUCGGUAAGAAGUAUAUGGCUUGAUUUCAAAGAGUGUUUUCAACGAAAGAAUGCUCCUUGCAUUUUCCAGUUGAAGAGAUCUCUCGCAACCCUCGUUCAAAAUCAAGACUCUGUGAGUAUGUAUUUCCCAAAGUUUAAACUCUCGUUGUGAAUUAAACUCCUAUAGGCCAACUUGUACUCGUGGAAACUGCCGAUGUGGAGGAAAUCAAGAGAUCACUAAUUUUCUUCAAAUUGGAUAACUUACGGACUUCUUCACGGGAUGUAAUGAGUCUUUGGCUUAAGCCUGUGCUCAACUCCUCCUCAUGGAACCUAUUCCUUCUGUUUCUCAAGCAUUCUCCCUUUUUCUUCAAGAAGAAGAACAACAAGCAAUAAGUUCUUUUUCUUCUGUUGCUCCAGCCGUCGCACUUGUUGUCUCUUCAAACGUGAAAAACAACUCUACACAUAAACAAUGCAAAGAUCGGCCUAUUUGCACUCAUUGUAACAUCUCAAUACAUACCAAUUACAAGUGUUACAAAGUCACUAUGGCUAUCCUCCUGGAUAUAAGCCCAAACAGCAGCGACUCAACAACAGUAACUCGAGCACUUCCUCCACCAACAGUACAAAUUCGGGAAUAACACAGACCAGUGAGCUCUCUCCCAAUCUGAACAACACCACAAUCCAACAGAGGCCCUAUUACAGUGCCAAAACCUCCUUAACCAGCUUCAAUCUCAAUUCACUGCCUCUUCAAGUAGUUCUACCACUCACAUAGCAGGUACUCUCUUUGCCCCAUAUUGUAUAAUUGACUCAGGAGCAUCCAUACACAUAUGUUGUUCUGAAGAAUUCUUUACUGACAAAGAACCAUGUUCUGCAUUCAUUAGUUUGCCAAAUAAAAACACCUAUGAGGUCAAAAAGCACUAGCAGUACUGUGAAAUUAUCUAACACACUUCUUUUGAGAAAUGUUCUAUAUAUGCUUGAUUUUUCCGUCAAUCUGCUCUCAGUGAGUGCCAUUACAAAGGAUUCAUCAGUUUUUGUUCAAUUUUCUACUAACACUUGCAUCAUUCCGGACAAGUACUCUUUGAAGAGGAUUGGCAGUGCUAAACUUUUCCAGGACUAUACAUUCUUGACCCUCCCACAGAUUUUCCUGCAAAUACAUCCGUUUGUGCUAUUGUUGGUAAUAAAGCAUCCUUAUGGCAUCAACGACUGGACCAUUCCUCUGCUGAUUGAUUAAACUCAUUACGAAACCUUUUACAUUUGAAAUCCACUACAGUAAACAAAGUAUCAAAUUGUACAGUGUGUCCUUUGGAAAAACAAAGGAAAUUAUCUUUUACUUCCAAUAAUCACUUGUCUUAAAUGCAUUUGAUUUAAUUCGUGUAGACAUUUGGGGACCAUUUUCAAUACAAACUCAUGCUGGCUAUUGGCUAUCUCCAAGGCAUGAAGGCUUUACAAGUUGUAUGACAUUGAGCACAAAAAGAUCUUCAUCUCAAGAGACGUGGUGUUCCAUGAAACUGUGUAUUCGUUCCAUAAUAUGCCUAAAACUCAAAUAUCAGUUGAUCCUCUACCGGGAUUUUCUCUACCCAAGCCCUUCCAUGAAUGCAAUUUACACCCACACGCCACAUUGCCUUUAGCCUCAGGCUCUACCUCCUCCACUAGAAGUUGCUGAUUUGUUUAAGGUUUUGACAUCCUAAAAAAAGUUGCUUGUACGAUUCAAUUACAGCUACCAAUCCCACCUAGUUUCCCAUCAAAUAUGUACAUUUCUAAACUAGCGAGUUAUCAAAAUAAAUUACUCCACAAGAUAUGUUCGUUUAAAGUUUAUGUUCUUUUUUUUUUUUCUUUAUUAAUUAGUAUGAGAAUCAGUUUUAUUGGUGAUAUGAAAUUACAUAACAAAGAAAAGGGUAGAAACCCCACUUGAAAGGAGUCACAAAAGAACAGGAAGUAUAAAAGUGGAAAAGUGAAACAUUUACUUUACAUCAAGUGAUGGUCGUAAAAACAAAAAGCAACAAAAUACCAACAAAUAGUAAGUUGGGUCUGUUUAUGCAUUUUGAGACAUUAUGAUGGCGUAAUCUAACCAGAAACUAAAUGAAAACAUAUUUUCAUAUGAAUUUAAGACUUACCAUUUUCAAUCCUUUAUAUUCACAAAUCCCUUAAAUUCCGCGUACAGCCCAUUCAAGCGACAACAGACAAACAAACAUUCUCUAACUUUGUCAUUUCUUCAAACACCUAAAAGGUAAAAGAGAAAGAAAAACCUGUGCAGAGCUGGAUUCAUAAGUACCAAAGGGCAGAUCACCAAUCAAAAGAGGCCGCCGAGCCCCACGAGCCACAGCCCUACAAUGAACAAGGAUUUCAUCCAAAGUAAUCGGCAACGUAGUGUCGUGGCCGUGCACAACCAUGGCAGCCGAAUCGCCUACCAAAGCAAUAUCAAUCCCAGCCAUGUCCAAAUGGACACCGGAAGGGUAAUCAUAAGCAGUGACCAUGGUGAUGGGUUCACCUUUCUUGUACUUUUGUCUAAGAUUGGUGAGAGUGACUCUUUGAUUUGGAGUUUGGGAGGUGGGGCCGCCGUAGACCGUAUUUUCAGGGACAUUGCUCAUGUAACGAAGGGUUUUGAGGAGGGAUUGUGUUCUUGUUCGAGAUACGGCCAUAGUUAAAAGCUUGAAGAGCGCCAUUGAAAGACCAACGUUACUCAAACUAAAUCACGAACAAACGGUUGAAACUUGAGAAAGAUACCCUCGUAUACUUCGUAGAGCAUCAAGCAUUGAGCGGCCGAGAAUGGAAUAUCAAGUAUUUAAAGCAUAGCAUGAAUAUUAUGCAUGGUUUUUAGAGAUGGAUUAGUAAAGAGGACUCAAAUUUUCAUUCCCUCUCGAAAACAAAACUAGGUCAUUCUUUUUUAUGGAAUAGUUGAAAAUUUAGCAAUUAUAUUCAAAAUAAUUAAGUAUAUAGUAACAUAUUUGUCAAAUUCUAUCAAUAAUACAUAUUUAUCACCGAUAUACUAUGUUGUAAAUAUUGAUCUAUCAGUGAUAGAUUAUUCGAGUUUAUCAACGAUACAAUAGUUUUGCUAUAUUUACAAUUUUUUUAAAAUAUUAUUAUAUCCUUAAUUAUUAUUUCUCACAUGUCCAUCAAUUACAAUUACUUUUUUUUUUAGACCUUCGAAUAGAAGUACAUUUUAGUCCCCCAAUUUGUAUAAUAAUUCAAAAUAGUCACUAACUCAACUUUGACGUAAUAGAAUAUUGAUUGAACCAUUACAACUUAUGUGCAUGGAUGAUGAUAUGUCCUUCUUUUAUUAUUCUAUAAAACAAAUUGAAAAUUCAAUCUAGAUUGCUAAUUAACUAUAUACUAUUGGAUUGAAUUUUUCAGUUUACUUUAUCAAAUAAUAAAACAAAAUCAACAAAUCUUCCAUCUACAUGGACCCGUUAAGGAUCCAAUUAUUGGUCUAAAAUUAACACAUGGAUAAUUUAGAAUCAUUCUACGAAAUUAAAGGACAAAAACGUUUCUUUUAAAACUUUAUAUACCAAAUAAACAUCAAUUCCACUACACUAAUAUUUUUAUACCAGAAAAUUUGGGGUAAAGUUUAAAUUGCACAUAUCUUUUUUAUUUGAUGUGUUUUGUUUUAUAAUUAAAAAAAAUCUUAAACUUAAUUUGUUAAAAAAAUUACAAAUAAUCCAAUAAAACUAUAUUAUUUUGGUAUAAAAUUCAAAUUAACAAAAAUAAUUCUAUAAUAUAAAUGUAGAUUAUAUAAAAGGAAUAUAUUAUUGAAAGGGUGUUCCUAAUAGAUUUAUAUAGAUGUAGGGUAUUCCUUAACAAUCCAAAUAUUCUUAGAUACCUCCAAAGGAAAAACAAUUCUAAAAUACCAACAUAAUGUGGAACAUCUAUAAUUUGAGAGAUUUCAAGAUUUUAGUUAUUUGCAUUCAUUAAAAAUAUAAUAAAUAACAAGUCGUUAUAGGAAUAUUUAAAACUAAAAUUUAACUUUUCUUUAAAAACUAUUUUUUUCAUAAAAACAAUUUAAUGGAUUUACAUCUUAGUGAAUGUUGAAUCACAAAUUGUCACUUCACAAAGUUCUCUUUUAAAAAAUAUUCUAAGGAACAAACAAGGUCAGCUAGGCAUAACUAAUCUACUUAAUUUCAUACAUCUAUAAGGAUUUGAAAUGAACGAUUGUGUUUAUCUGAUGUGUAUGUUUCUAAUGAUCUCCUUUUAAGGGAAUAUCCAUGAAAAAGUUAUAGAUAGGGAGAUGAUGUGAACAAACAUAAAUGAAAAGAUAAAUAAUAAAUAAAUCAAUUGAAAGAGGAUGGAGAAAGUAAAAUGAAAGUCAAGUGUAUCUAAAAGGAAAACCCAAUCCCAAACCCUACUGGUUACUACCGAGAAGCCUUGAUAGCAAAUUGUCAAUACCCAACUAUUACUUGUUAUACAUAUUAUCAAAUUGCUAUGUAUAUUAUUAUCACAGUGAACAGAAAAAUCAUACACAAAUACAGAUCUGAGCUCAACAAAUUCACGUUGUCUUCUUAAGACAAAUUUACUCACCCUAGUGCUUGAGAAUUUAGAGUAAUUGUCUCACAUGAUAGAACAGAACAACUUUCUUCUAAGUGUAGCACCCCGUAUAAAAGAUUUAAGAACAAAACUUUGUGAAUCUACCGAACGUUAAGAUUGUGGAUAUGGAGAUAAAUUUGUUUAUAGAAGACAAAUUAUUUUUUUGUGUUCUUUUCUCUCAACCAAAAUGACUUAUUUAUAGAUUUUUCGUGGUUAUUCGAAAAGUCAUGUGCUUUAGUUAAUAAUAUUUUUCACGAAAUGAUGCAUCCACUCAUGAUGCAUCAAUUCAUGAAGAAUCAUAACCAUUUAUUCCAACAUUUACUAAUAGUAUUUGUUGAUGUUGAAUUUGUCUUAGAUUGGGAUUGGUGUUGUUCAACCUUUGAUUUUUGAGCAUAAACAGUCCAAACCAUUUUAUGGAUGAUCCUCUUAGGGUGAAUACUAGUCAAAUGUAGGAUCGUUCUAACAUAGUCAUGAGUUGAUCUAUACCAGAAACACCACAUGUCUAAUCACUAGGGCUCCUCUUGUUGAUUAGAUGCUCAUCGAUCAUUACUAAAACUCACACUUCAAAAUGCCGAGUCAAGGAGUAAUGCAUUAUAUUAUGAAUUGAUGUUUGGUUUGGUCUCCAAUUGGCCAAGCUUCGUGGAGAUUAAGUGGUUUGAGUUUGGGUUUGACAUAGAAAGAGCAAAAGAGAAACAUGUACAAUGGUGAAUUUGAGGUUCUUCAAUUUUAGUAUGUCAAUGGAGAUAAUAAAUUGCACUAUAUUUUAAUGUGGUGUUAACAGAUUUAGAUAGUGACACUAUUAAUGUUUUCACUUUGGUUUCGAUAGUGAGUGUGAGACUCUCUUUCACCAUAAUAUAUUUUCUACGAAUAAAAAAAAUCACCUUACUGAUGGAUCUUAGGCUCUCCUAAGAUAGAGAAUCCAUUCUCGUGGUUGUGUCUUAGGCUACCUUAAAACCGAGAAUCUCUUCUCAACAGCACUUGUAUUGGCUCCCUCUAAAUCGUAUAUAUUUUUAGUAUGCUGCAAUCAACAUGUGAAUAAACUUGCACAAAACAAUGAAGAACAAGCAAGAAUAUAGUGAAAAACACAAUGGUCGUAAACAAAACAACUCUUAUUCAAAGAACAAAUGCGGCUUGCAUCAAGAACUUAAUUUGCUUGCACAAUCAUCACACUCGAAAACCCUAAAUUGAUAUUAUAAUUUGCUUUAAAUAAUCUAAUCUAUAAAGGGAAAUAACACACUAUAGGAAAAGAUAGAUGAUAUAACACACUAUAAGUUGUUUGUCUGCAAAGAAGUCUAAACAUAGAUGAUAUAAACAUCAUUAAUGGUAGGAAUAAUACAAAGUCUCAAACAAAAACAUCGUCAAACAAUUACAACCAAACCAUUAGAGAAACAACAACCAGGCUUCAAACAACAAAAGUAAUAACCCAACAUCAAACAACAUAGCACAAAAGUCAGGCUCGAAAUCCUCUAAACUACCACAAAUCUCUCCCUUUUCUGGUUAAAAGAAAAAAAAAAUUCAAGUUUCGUGCUAAGAGGUGGAUGUUCCACCCUCAUUAGACAAAUAGAAAACACAUGAUCCAGAAUAGAUCAACCACUUCAGUUCUUUUUCUCUAAAGCUUAUGAAGUAAUGAUAACUAGUAAAAAUACAAGUUAUUAUGGCAUUUUAUUUAAAUAAUGAAGCCUCAUCGCAUAAGAAUAGAAGAAAGCAUAGUGAAAAGUAGAGGAUUUGAUUAACUUGUUAAUAAUGUUGUGCAAAAGAACCUCAUCUCCAUUUUAUUGCGUUUUUAGUGUUUUUAUCAUAGGAUUAUAGGCAAAAGUAAGCUCGAUGAUAGAAUGACUACAUGAGGAGACGCGUCCAACCAACAAGGCGACAAACAAUCAAGGCAAUAUAAAGCACUAGCAAACAAAUUUAGUUGGAGCGAAUGUCAGACAAAGGACAGAAGAACAUCUGCACGACGUUGUGCAGCUUUUAAGAGACAUUAAUGACGCAUGGGAUGUCCUAUUAACAUCACUCCUUAACUAUAAAUAGAGCUCUUCACUUUAGAAUUUGGUAUGCAUAUUUGGUCGGAGAGAAAUCUCCUAUAUCGUCCAUUUCUCUUCUUCCCUUGAGUUUUAGGUGAGAGCUUAGAACAAAUGAGAUGGAGAGAGUUAAUUCCUAGUUGUGGGGACUUUAUUGUAUUGGAUGAGUGGUUUGUUAUUGUAAACUAUGCUAUAAGUUAUUGGUCAUGAUCAUUGUAAGCGAAUUACUCAUUAUGUACCUCUUCAUCACAUAAUCACUGAGUCCUUGUUGAUUAUAAGUUUUUCUACUGCUUGUUCAACUGCAAGCGAAACAAUAGGUUUACUUGGAUGAUUCAAGAUCGAACACAGUAAAUUGCUUCAAGACAUUAGUUCUAGGCAUUACUUAGCAUCUGGACGAAAUAAAAUAAUUAAAUAAAUAAAGUAUAAAAGAAUUAAAAUUAGAAAUAGAAACUACUUAUGCAGGUCGAUAGAGUGUGGGAGCUUUUACAUCUACGUGAAGGGUGAAAUCUAUAGGGUGCAAAUGGAUCUAUAAGAGAAAGAGAGAUUUUGUCACACCCUAAACCGUACAAUCAACGAAAAUGUCGAAGUAGUAGGAAUAUGAUGUGAGUUUGUUACAACUUUGAAAUUUUCUUAUCGCAAAAUAUUAUUCUCAACUCCUUUUAUACUAUCAACAAAACUUAAAACGCAACGGUGGUCAACCUAAACGACAAGUAUAAUAAAUACCUACCAAAACAUUUAUUAAUAACAUGGGUUGAUACAUAAUUACAACACUUUGACCAAACAACCGAUGCUCUAUUUUCAAAACGUCUGGAGUCAUCUUGUCACAAAUAUCAAUCAAUCUUCUUCUCUACUUGGCCUAAACGCCUGAUCCUAGAAGAUGAAUUUUUUAAAGAAUGUCUAAAAGAUCGAGGUUUUAUGAAAUCCUUUUCACUAUACAUUUUCAUAAAUAUCAUUUUGUAUAUAACAUCAAAUAAUUUCAUCUCGCAUAAACCUUUCUUUAUGCUUAACAUAUUCAUAACAUAACAAUUUCUCAUAUACACACAUUAGUUAACAUUCAUUCCUUUCACCAAGGAUCCCAAAUAGUUCUUUACGCUUGGUCUCAUUAUCUCGCGUUUGACUACUGUAUCAACAACAUUCGAGAAUAUACAUAUUUGUCCUUGUUGCUCAGGUCUGUACACCCAUGACGACUGUGACUCUUUAUGUGCACAUAAUAGAAUCCGAUGAUUCUCUCAUACUCCCUUAAGGAAAGGGAGUUAUAAAACUGCAAAAGAAAAAUAGUUUUUCUUAAUUAAGAAAAGGUCAAUGUUUUUGCUCAAUGCAAAAAUAUUUCUCUCUAAAAUUUUUCCCAUCCUAAAUGGCUCUCACAAACCAAUCCCAUCCCAGAUGAUAAGUGAAGGGAUAAAAGCUCUAUGACACCAAAAAAUUUUACAGCCUUACAUUAAUUUGGAAAUCCCAAAAUACCAGUACAUUGACAAAAAUUUAGAAUAAAAUUUCUAAAUAAAAACUAAGCAUUCUUUUAAUUUAAAAAUUACAGAGAACUUAUUUUUGAUGACGUUUCUGAAUCUACAAACCACUGAAUUGAGGACACACCUAUGAGAGACCUUUCUAUCCUCUAGAACGAUAUUGGUUUGUGGGAACCAAUUGUGAUGUCAAAAGUCUUGGUUUUUUUUCUUGAAUAAUUCGUUAAAAAAAAAUUGUUUUCUUCUAGAUAUUUAUAACUCACUUUUCUUCUUGAUAUAAGAAAGAGAGUUGUAGAAAAUCGUGGGAUUUUACUAAUUUAAAAAAUACUAAAUUAAUAGAUAUUUCAAAUCUAAUAAUUAAUUAACCAUUAAUAAAUUAAAUCAUAUUUAACUAAUAUUUCAUUUAAAUCUUCUUUAAAUGAAUAUCUCUCCAACAUCUUAUACAUUUUUAUUAAUAUAGUUAAUUAAAUUAUAUUUAAUUAAUAUUUCAUUUAAAUCUGAUUUGAAUGAAUAUCUCUCCAAUAUAUUAUAGAUUUAUAUUAAUUUAAUUUAAUUUAAUUUACUUAAAUAAAAUAAACUAUUAAUUAAUUGGAGAAUUAAUUAAUAGCUAAAUUAAAUAUCUUAUAUUUAACUUAAAUUAAAUUUGAAUCAUAUUCAAAUAUAAGUUGCUUUUUCAUAACUAAUAAUUUUAAUAUGAAUCCAAUUUACAUUAAAUUAAUAUUUAAAUUUUAAUAUGACUCCAAUUCACAUUAAAUUAAUAUUUGAAUUCUUUCAAAUAUUUUAUCUCUCAUAAAUUAAUUUUGAAUCAUAUUCAAAAUUAAAUUUAUAUUAUAAAGUUUGAUAAACUUUAUAUUAUAAUGUACCACUAUACAUUAAGCUAAUUCCCAAAGUAAAUUUAAAUAUUUAAAAUUACAAUCAAUAUAAAUAAAUCUCAUUACUUUUUACGAGCUAGAAAUGAGACUUAAUGAGCCUACAGAUCAAAAACUACAACGAUAUGAAAUUAAUUGGCUAAACUUAUUAACCACAUUAAUCAAUAUUCGUUAACUGUGUGUACACUCUACUAAAGACUCACAACUAAACUCUUCUCACUGUAGAUAUAUUUAUGCAUAUGUAUAGACCAAUAACAAUAAGUUAUUCUUUCACGAGUGUUCGUAGCACCAGCUGGAUCAAUUUACCGUUUUACCCCUUGGUUACCUCUAAUCCUUAAAUAUCAGUGCUCCUCUAAUGAAUAACCUAUUUAUGGCUCUUCCAAUAAACGGAAACCCCUCUCGUGCCAUAGAGACAAUAAGGACCCUUUGUUUAAACCCUAGAGACACCAUUUAAGGGAACACUCAUUUACUUACCAUAAAGUACGGAAAGAGUAAAUUUCAUCUUGCGUAAUUAUGUUUUCAGCUCCCCACUUGAUCUUGUCCCCAAAGUAUAAGCUUAUUGAGUCGACAAUCUGGCGACUCUCACUUGUAUAAAUCAAAGGAUAAUCCCUCGCGAACAGGAGUUCAUAAUACACUAUGGAUUAAGUACUCUACAUACUGAGUUUUCGAUGGUCAAUGUGUACAAUCAGAUGUAUUAGGCUAUGUUGACCACUUAGCCGUUGCCACCGAGUUCAGGCAAGAAUAAUAUGAUUAGUGCUCUACUAUCUUGACCGAGAUCAGACAGGAAUAUUAUGAUCAAAGGUGCUCUACUUUCCUGAUCAAGUAUUUAAUCGAGGUUUAGUGGGAUAGUAUGAUAGAAGGCGCUAUGCUAUCUUGUUUGUGUUUUUCAGGGUAUAGUGUAUAUAGAGCUAAAUGAGUAUUUGCAUGUUAGAAAGUAUUCAGUUAAAAGAGAUUUCUUAAAGAUUUUAUGUCAUGUUUAUGAAAUGUUUAAAGUAUAUAUGUUUUAUAAAACUAUCACUCACUAGCUUUUUAGCUCACCCUUUCAAAAUAUUUUUCCACUUUUUAGGUAGAGGUCGUGAUCUGAGAACCUAACCGCUGUCUUCAGACUGCAGUGCGAAACUUGUUGAUAUUUAGUUUUUAAGGGUCAUUUUUUAUCUUACCAUAUACAUGGUUUUGCAUAAGUUUAAGUUGUUUAAUUUUUGUUUGGUCUAUAAGUAAAGUUUGUAAUCAAUGACAUUUAGCCUCAACUACUGGUUAAAAGUAUAAAAUGGGUUUCAAGUUUGUUUGUCGUAGUUUCCGUUGCAUAAAUUUUAUUUUGUCUAAGUUGUUUUAGUUAUUAAGAGUUAUAGUUAUUAGGGUCAGUUGAUGUUAUUCAUAGAGAUAAUGAUAUUGGUUGGUUUCAUCUCGCGUCUGAAGUCGAGUGAGCAGGUGCUCGGGAUGGGGUGUGACAAUAAAAGUUUUCAUUGAUCAUUUCAGUUAUGAGAUGGAAGUUUAAACAAGAAAAAUUCUAGUUUUAAGGCUUCAGACCUCUUGGUGACCAAGUGGAUAAGGAUAUAGCAUACACACUCCAAGGCUAUGAACUUUUUCUAGGAGGUAAAAUUGAUAGUCUCACGUUCAUUUGGUACGUUAUUCUAUGUUGCUUACUUUGUAAUACUAUUCUAUUUUGGAGCUAUUUAGUCAAUUGAUUGUAAAUUCUGACUGUAGUUGAGGAUAUGUGUGGAAGAUAUCCAAAUGCCACAGAGGUCAACAUCUAUGGUGUACCAGCUGUUCACUUGCAAGCAAUUUCUUCAUCAAGGGGAUAGACUUUAGUUUUGGUAUACCACACAUGUUUUUUGUUAUAUAAUACUAUUAUUGUUGUUGAUUUUGGAAUAGGUCACAUACAAAAAAAUUUAGUUGACUAUGUUAGAUUAGAAUUGUGUAAUUGUUGAUGACAUUGUUGAAAUUAAUGAAAUUAUUGUUGGUUUACUUAUUAUACUAAAUUAUUUGUCAUUUUUUGUUGUGUAACUACUGGUUGGAGAGUUUAUUUUGUUGAUAGAUAUGUUUUAUUGAAACGAAUGUACGUAAUGCAGGAAACAAAAAAUGAUUUUUUUUGUAUAUUUAAUAUAUUAAUAAAUGGUAUAUAUGACAUUAAAUACUUGUCAAAUAUGCUAUCUUACUUGAAUCAAAUAUACACUUUUACUUAACAAAUAAUCAAUGUCAAGUAUAUUAUCUUACUUGAUGGAAAAAUAUUGUAAAGUAUAUUAUCUUAUUUGACGUGUAAAUACUGUCAAGUAUACGAUCUUACUUGACGUGCAAAAACCGUCAAGUAUACGACUUUACUUGACACAUAAAAGACGUAAUGUAUACGACCUUACUUGACACAUAAUAAGCGUCAAGUGCGAUAGAUUACUUGACGUUAAUACAAUGUCAAGUAAACGUAUACUUGACUAUUUUUAGUUCAAGUAAUGUGACAGUACUUGACAGUGGAGUACUUGACGUUUUUAAAAAUGUCAAGUAUAUGUUUACUCGACACUGUAUUACCGUCAAGUAAACUAAUUUAUGUAGUAGUGAAUCUUGAAAAAAAUUGUUUAGAUUUGGGUAGUCAAAUCUAAACGACCAAAUCUAAAUGAUCUUGUACCAAACAAUUUUUUUUUUUAAAAAAAAAACGCUUAGAUUUGGAUAGCCAAAUCUAAACAAUUUUGUAGCCAAAUCUAAAGAAUAUUGGUACAAAACAGUGUACCAAAUAUAUUGCUCGUGAGUGGCCAAUUAAUCGCAUGUUGACUGGGGCAUUUUUCGUAUUUUUCAUCAUGGGGCUGUGGUCUUUUUUCAUUUUCAAAAUUGUUCUAUACAAUGAAAAUAUUUUGCCGUUUGUUUAUAUUUUUUAAAAAACCUCUAUUAGUUACAUAAUCUUUCCUUUUUAUUUUAAAUUUUCACGCAUUUAAAUAAAAAGUUAUUUAUUUGCUCGUUAGCUAUCCUUAAAUGAUCUAUUUUCAAUAAAAUUAAAAUAUUUUUUCACUUUAUAGAAUAAUUUUUUAAAAACAAAUAUAACGAAGUGGAAAAAUAUUUACAUUGUAUAAAAAAAUUUCAAAAACGAAAAAAGCUCAUAGACCCACAAUGACAAAUACAAAAAAAAAAACCCUGUCAACAUGCGAUUAAUUGACCAUUCGCGCGCAUAAUAUAUUUAGUACAUGAUCUUGUAGUAAGAUCGUUUAGAUUUGUCUACCCUAAAUCUACACGAUUUUUUUCUCAAGAUUCUUGGGUACAUAAUCGUUUAAAUUUGUCUAUUCAAAUCUAAACAAUUUUUUUUCAAGAUUGAUCGUUUACAUUUGGCUACCCAAAUCUAAACCAUUUGUUUUCAAGAUUCUUUGGUACACAAUCAUUUACAUUUGACUACACAAUUGUUUAGAUUUAGCUACCCAAAUCUAAACGAUUUUUUUCAAUAUUUUUUGGUAUACGAUCAUUUACCUUUAGUGACAUGAUUGUUUAGAUUUAACUACCCAAAUAAUCUAAACGAUUUUUUCAAGAUUUUUUUGUACACAAUCGUUUACGUUUGCUUACACGAUCGUUUAGAUUUAACUGCCAAAAUCUAAGCGAUUUUUUUCAAGAUUAUUUGGUACAAAUUUAUUUUAACUACUCAAAUCUAAACGAUCAUGUACCAAUAUUUAAUUUUUUAAAUAUUUGUUAGAUUUGAUACACCAAAUCUAAACCAAUAUCUGACUAUUUUUGUUCAAAUCAUGUGCAAAUUUAUAUUUGAUACACGAUCCUCAACUGAAUAAAAAUUUGAAAAUUUAAAAAAUAUAUAUGAAAGAAAGAAAACUUGCAGAAGAAGAGAAAAAAGAAGAUGGAAAGAAAAAGAAAAAAAAAAUAUAAAAAUGAAUGACAACCCUCAAAUAUUUUUUAGAAAAUUAUUGCUUUCAGUGAAUAUUUUGAUGUUUAUUAUAUUUCUCAAUUAUUUACUUAAACGUGAGCACCUAAUUAUAUCUUUUGGAAGGCUAAAAUGAUCAACAUUAAUUGAAAUAAAUACUACAAAAUGGUGAGAUUUAAACAUGUGUACUCUAAAUUACGGAAUUUCAUAAAUAAUCAAUUGAAAUUUAAAAUAACAUAACAGCUAAGUUCAUUUUUUUUAAAAAAAUCAUAGCUAAGUUAUUAAAUAAUUAUUCAAUAUUAGAAAUAAAAGUCUUCCUAGAAAAUGGUUGGUUAUAACUCUUAUAACAUUCAACAAAAUAUAUUAAUUUUAAAUCAAGCUUAAAGAAAAUGUUUAUCUCAAUAUUUCACAUGCAAUAUUUCAAAGUAUACACAUAUAUUCAUAUGUAUGUUUUUGCUGUCGCCCAUCCAAUUUUCUUUAAUUAUUAAUGAGUCAUACCUCCAAAUUAUCCAAUUAGGAACUAUUUUUCUCACAUUUCUUUCAACAAAUCACAAAAUUACUUGAGUACAAGUAAAAUUAUAGAGUUUUGUUCUCCAUUUUUCUUGCAUUGUAUAUAUAAUUGAGUACAUAUCUUAUGUUGUUUUACUGAUAAUUUAUUGAUGAAUCCAAUACAAUUACAAUGCAAGAAGAAUAAAUAUACACAGACUAAUGAACGAAUGGGAAAUAUUAGUUGAAAUUAAGGGUAAUUAACAUCUUGUAUGUAUAGAAUGUAAUUAAUUUUUGUGGCCCUCCAAUGAGAGCAAGCAUUUCAAGAAAACUAUAUUGGAAUAGAAACAAACUUGUCUGUCUAAUAAGUUAGAAUCUGUACUUUAGCUCUUUAUUAACAUACCGACUCAGAAGGAUAAGGUCCUUAUACAUGAAAAUCCCAAAAACGAAGAGAAGUGGGAAGAAAAUGAAAAGAAAUUGGAUGGAUUAUUAGAGAGAAUAACCUAGAAAAUGGCAUAAAUAUGUUUAUAUAAAUGUUGGAGUUUCGCGAGAGCUUGUGGGUUUUGCAUGAGCAAGAUGACAUUUGGAGCACAAGUGUACUCUUUACGGGCAACUUUAUAUCUUUUGCAAUCGCUUCUUCCAUCGAUUGAAUUAAGCUCCAUUCUAGUUUAUUUUGGCUCCAUUUUGUCAAUAAACACAAAACCUAAAAUAAUCUCCAACAAAGUGAACCUAAGAUUACACGUUUUAUAUGCUAUCAUAAUUAUUGUUUAUUUUAAUUUUUUUGUUUAUCCUCUUCUUAUUUUUACUAUGGAAGUAAGAGACUUUACUUACAAUGCAACCCUAAACAUAAUUAGUUACCACAAAGUAAUAAUUUGACAUUGAAUAGUGCAUUAAAUAGAAGUGUAAAACACAAUAGAUCAAACAUGAAAAUCUAAAGCAAAUCAUACUAAAAUAAAACUAUAAAACAUAUAUUCGAAGGCAUACUACAAAACAGUUCAAGCUUAUAUGGACUGAACCCAUGGAUACAAAGAAAAAAACAAAUGUAAGAGUAUGAGCUGUGGUUCAUUUGGGUGAAAGUGUAAAAAGGACAAGAAGUGACAACAACAUGACUCAAGAAGGUUUUGUGAAAUUAAUAAUCAAUUGAAAAAAAUAAAUGUAGGUGAUAGAGGGUAGAGAUUUGCAAGCUCAUUGUGGGCUCAUUGAGAUUGAUAUUUGUCUCUGCAUUUUUAGCCACACUCACAAUAAUCCAAAAUCCAUCACUUCUUUCUGAACCAUUUUUUAGUUUUCUUGGGAAAGAAAGAAGUAAUCUAAGUGUAAAAGAAAAUCCAAUAUAUGGAAAUUUUCCAACUAGAAAUUAAUACAAAAGUGAUAUUGUUCCUCUAAGCUAUUGACCACAAGAAAAGUGAAAAUAAAGGUUUUGUAAAACAUGUUUUAUUUGACUUUAUGAUCUCUUCUUUUCUAAGGACAUUGCUUUAAUGAAAAGUUAUGACUCAGCCAUCAAAUUAAAAAAAUUAUUCAAAUUAAAUCUCAUUGAAAAGUGACAAAAUGGUAUAUCUACGAUAGUAAAUUGUAUAUACAUUGUUUUGUAUGUUAGGGUUUACAUAAUAAAGCUUUCAACCAUGUGUAUUCAAUUGUUACCUUUUUCUAAAUGUAUGGAAGUAUAUGGAUUUUUUUUUCUAGUACUACACUUUUAAAUAAACACAUUUAUUGACUUACACUCACGAGAUGUUUGAUCAUCGACUUUAUAAAUUGCUAUUAAAUAACAUAAUUUUUAAUAGUGUUUACCAACAAAAUAGGUUCAUUCAUAAAAAAAUUCAUCUCACAUCUUUACACAUAAUUUGAUCGUUGACCUCUUUAUUUCAUAAACUUUAAACUUUAUAAUUCAACUCAAUAUCUCAAAUACUCGAAGAGAACUUAUGAGAGUAGUUUUAACUCUUUCUUAGAGUUCUUCAAAACUAUAUGUUUAACCAUGUUUUGUGAGGACUAUAUUUUGAAUGGAAAAAAAAAGCACAUAUUCCCCUUCUAAAAUCAUACCAACUUAAUUAUAUAUAUAUAUGUAAAAGUAGGGUUAUAGUCAAAAGGAAAAGGGGCUUUGGAGAGAGGCUAAAGACAAAGUUUGUAACUUGGAGGUUUUUCCUUUUAUUUUUGUUUAUUUAGUAUUACUUUGCCUAAUAUCUUAGUAAGAAAGGAAUUUUAAAGUAAGAAGGUACAAGUAUAUAUAAUAUAUACCUCUGAUUGACAGCCAUUGAAGUAUGGGAAAAAGGAGCUAUAUAGUUGAUAUGAGUGUAGAAUAUAUGCUUACCAAGAACCUAAUGAGUGUCCCAUCAACAAAACUCUUAUCUUUUCUAAAAUGAAUAUGAAAAGAUGUAAAGUGAAUCCAUUCUUUAUUUGUACAAUUAGGUUCCUUUCUCCAAACUUUGUUUAAAUAUCUUUUAUGUGACCCCUUGAUUAAUUAUGUUCUUCAUUCUAUUUAAAAUUUCUCUUGGAGAAAUUGGUUUGAGAGAGUGCAUAUUUUAGAUUAAACCCAUUGUUUUCAGAUGUUUAACUACCUAUCAAAAGGUAAUUUUGAAAAUAUGUGAAAUACAAAAAGAGGGGAAAAAAACUCGAUCUAUUUGAGGAGAAAAUAGUUAGAGUUGUAUCAAAUUUUCUCGACAUUGAUUCGUGGAAUAUGUUUUCAGAUUCCACAUUUUUAAAAUCUCGAAGCACUUGUUAAAAAACAUUCUUUCAAUUACAUAAAAAUAAAUUCCAAAAUAUUUUCAAAACAAAGAAAUUAAUAAAAGGCUUACCUAAUCGUUGAGUUGCUCACAAAAACAUGUGUAAUUCAAGAAAUACGUCAUUACUUUAAUUUAAUUUGGUAAAUUAAAAAAUUAGAAAAAUUGUAAAACAUACAACAUUUGACAAAAUAUUUACAUAUCAUUCAAAAAUCAAGUAUAAUAAAUUCUCUCUUCUAGUGGGUUUUUUAGGGGCUCUUGCAAAAAUAGCAAAAAAAGAUAAAAAAAAUGAUAAUAGAGCUCAUGUCACUACAUUUUCUACUUUAUAAAAAUAGCAAAAUUAAAAGUCGAUAAUUCUUUGAUAACCCUCCAAUAACUUUCUGAUAGUCGUCUGAUAUCACUAAUUUUGUUAAUUUUUUUUAAUGUUUUUGUCAUCUAAUACAAUUUUCGUUUUUUAAUGAAGCGUAAAUAGUUUUUCAAUUUUUUUUAUUUGUGUAAAAACUCCGUUGAAUAACCUAAUUUACAAUAAUAAUUUUUCUUUGAUAAUUGAAAAACAUUUUCCUUGUUAGUAAUUGACCUUGGCCAAGGCAAUAUCAUCCAAGGAAAGAAGUUUAUAAACUAUUUAUUUACACUCACCUAUUUUUUUUUUCUCUACAAAUGUUGAAAGAUGUCAAAUAUUGUGGCUCAUAAAGCUUUGAUUACACAAUUUUGACAUUUAAUUCAUGGAGCCUCAAUAUUUGACAUCUUUAAAACUUUGUAGGAUAGAAGAACUUUUGUUUGAGUUACACAAUUUCCCAUAAUUUUAUAGACUAAUGAAGGAAAUUAUUAAUCAUAAGAAACAGUUAGAGAAACAAAUAAAGACCCUACUUUUGUUUUUUAUCUCCAAGUUUAGUCAUUUUUUCUUUUUGAUUAAUUAUUGAAAUGGAUAAUAGCAAAUUGUAAUCAAAUAAUAGAAUGAAGAAAUUAUUAGGUCCAUAAAUGGACUUUUGUUAACCAAAAUUCAAGGAACCAUCUCAAACCAACCACAUGGGUAUAUAGGAUUUUGUUACUUAUGGAAACUAACAAAAAUAUUUGGAACCCUACUCUCUCUUCUUCCCAAAAGCAGUAUAAACUCUAUGAAAUUAGCAGAAUGUCAAAAUUAUUUCAUUAAAUAACGAAAAAUAUUAUAAAAUGAAGAAUCAUAUUACAAAUUUAGUUUUCAUGGAAAGAAAAAUGAAUUUAUUAUAAAUACUAUUAAGUAGAUAUAUAUACAUCCAUUGUGUUUAGUAUCACGAUGACAUGUAUCACUUCUUCCACACCUUAUUUAAAUUUUUAUGUGUCUUGAAGAUAUUAAAUCUUAAGGAUGGCGUUUGGGACGCAAAGUGGGUUAUUAUAGUCUGGGAAUUAUGAUAGCUUAUGUUCGAGGUGUAAAGCUUUAUAGUUUAGGUUAUUAUAGUCUGUGUUUGGGGUGCAUAUUAUUAUAGUUCAAUUGGUAGCAGUAUGUAAAAUAAACAUUGGUUAUCUUAUAUCAUGUUUAUUUCUUUUUCACUAUUGUUUUUUGUCAUACAUAUAUUUGGUACAUGAAAUACCAUUUUUUUGAAAACAUAGUUCAAAUUGUACCUUCCACUAACUUAUACAAACUAGCAGAUUACUACUUGUGAUUCAAAUGAUUUUGACACAAACUACCCAACAAACAUUAACUAUGAGCUAUUUCUUACGAAUAUACAAUAAACUUUCCUAAAAGGAAAGGAUCAGGGAUAGGGCGGAAACAAAGUAUUUUGGAUAUGGCAGAAUCAAAAUAGUACACUAUACAAUCGAAGUAUGAAUAUGCCAUAAACUCUCCUAGAAAGAGGGAAUAAGGGAUAGGGCAAACACAAAAUAUUUUAGAUAUGGCAGAGAUUAAUAUAUAUAUAUAUAUAUAUAUAUAUAUAUAUAUAUAUAUAUAUAUAUAUAUAUAUAUAUAUAUAUAUAUAACAAGAGAUAUGACAGUGAUUUGCAGUAAUGGAUACUAAAAAUAUGGUAGAGAUAGAUAUGAAGCAACAAAAUAAAAAAGAAUUAAACAACAAUAUUUUUGUAACGACCCAACUCCUUAUACUAAGCUGAAGUCAUUACUAUUUAAAUAAAUAACAAUUUUCAUUUUUUAAAAAAAAACUAAAUCUUAAUAGAUAAAUUCAAAUACUCGUUCACAAAUCAUAAUUUUGAAAAAUAAGAAAAGUGCUAGGUAAACAUAGUCCUAGUUUCUGUCCUAUCUAAAUUUUAAAGAAAAUGUCAUAAAAUAAUUAACGAGUAACGAUAAAUUCCAAUAAAAUAAUAAAAAUCAAAAUACUGUAAAUAUGAAAGGCGAAAGUAAAUGUAGUUCCCCUAUGGCAAGUGAUAACUUAUAGAAAUAAAAGUUAUUAAGGUCUAUUAGGUAGAACAAUGGAGUCAGAACCUGGAAAAAAGUGUCAUAAUGCAUAGCUUUCAUCGCAAAUUUAUAAAGAUAAAAGAAUAUAACUUACAUAAGUCUUCAUCCCUGUUUUACCAUGCUUUUACUGUUUUUAUCACAAGAUUAUGAAGAAAAUUAAAGGAGAGGUAUAGUGAAUCACAAGAGGAAUGCGUGCUAAACGUAUGCGAUAGGUGGUAGGUUUGGAAUCAACUUAUGCAAUGUUGUGUAUGAUGUCUAUAUCUAAUUCUAAAUGAUGAGGCAUGGUCAUGCGAGAUGCUCUCUAUGUCUCUAAUCCUCACGUAACUAGUAAGUCCUCGUUGAGUACAAGUUUUUUUAUUACUUGUUCAAGUAUAAACAAAACAAUAGAUUUUCUGAGUAAUCUAAGGUUGAAUACAGGGAAUUGAUACCAAAUCUUAGCUAUAAGGCCCACUCUUUAUCUAGACAAUAUAAAAUCGUUAUCUAUACAAUAUAAGGUAUGCAUGUCUAAGCAAAACUACUAUUUACACUAGAGAAUUUGUAAAAAGGAAUGAGAAUGGUGACAAGAUAGAAAUGUGAACUAACUUUUGUUAAGAAAGAGUGAAGGAAGGUCUCCGCGUAACUAGGCGAUUAAGCCAUGCGACAGUCUUGAUGCUAUAGAAAUUAGCUAACUAGCUUAUAAUUAAGGCGAGCACCUCUUAGUGAAUUAAAUGUCACACUUGCUUGCCUCUCAGGAUGCAAAUGAUAAAAUUUGAUUAAGUGAGAUCUAUCUGAAAGGGUUUACUUACAAGACUUAUAACACUUCUCUUUUAAGGGUGACAACCUCUCGGCGCCAAGUACCCACACUUGUUCUCCUUUCGAGACACAUAUGAUGGAAGUUAUUUCGUAAAGGUGGAGUUUCUCUUGAAAAUCCUCCUUACGCGCAUUAGUCAUAUUCUUGUUACUUGCUCUCUCGAGUAGUUGGCGAUAUACACUGGUCAAGUGAUGAUUAUAGUCCAAUUAACGUGAUAAGCUUUAUAAGCUAAACUUCUUAUCAAGAACUUAUCACAAACUUAAACUACAGAUAACAGAUUGACAGAUGAACAAUAAAGGAAUGUUGGAUUAAAAUGGUAAAAACAUGCAAUGUAUUAAAGAGUAUAAGCCUUAGGCCACUGUACAGUAUGAAUACAUACUUUACAAAGAAAUACAAAAUGAAAAAUAAAGAGAAUGAACUUUACAAGUUAGGGGAAAGGAAUGAUGGAAUCUUCUCUACGCCAACUCUAAGUUUUCACUAGAUUAACCGAAGAAGAAGAAGAAAUGCUUUUACAGACGAUGGAAGGGCUACUCCUUUCCACCACUCUCUAGGAUUUUGGUCGAUUCAUACAGAUGCCUAACUCCUCUCGAAGCCGACCCGCUUACUUGGCAGGGAAGGAGUCCUUUUAUACGCAACUUUCGAUGGGAAACUUCUAUUCUUUUGAUCAUAUCAGUGCCGAUUGCAAUCUUGUCAAGUCACAUCAACUCCAACUACCAUUCUCGUCUUCUAGUAAAUUCCUCAUCCAAGAAUAUCUCUGUCUUAUGGUGCCUAUGGUACUUAAGACUCAUAACAUAACAUAGAUCCUCACCUUGAAAUUGUACUUGCCAAGCAAGGUUUUGUCAUUUAGUCCUUCGAACGUGCUCCUCUACGACUCGCUAGUUUCUUCUUUUAUUCCUAAUCUUGCGUUAAAACACUAAAGACAUGGUGAAAUAGGCAUGGAGACUUAUGUAAAGUGUAUUUUCUAAUAUUUAUGAAUUUAUGCUAUAAGCCACACGUUUUUAUCCCAUUAUUCUUUUUAAAAGACUAUAAUAACUUAUAUUUCUACAAGUUAUCAAUAGGCCACAUCAUCACGAAAAAAGAUUCAUUAGAAGACAAGAAUGGUAGUUAAAGUUGUGUGGCUUUACACAAUGUUGCUUUCGGGGUUGACAUGUGCGGAGGAAUAGAAGUUGCCAUCUAAAGUAGCUUAUAUAAAGCCUUCAUCUCUACCAUGUAAAAGUGUAAGGUCUGAGUGGACCAAAUCCUAGAGAGCUCCAGAAGGGCUAUCUCCAAUAUGAGAGCUAGUGGAAAGGAUUCCUUUCCACCUUGUGUAGAAGUUCUUCCCUUUCUCCGGCUCUUCUCCGGUCAACCUUUUGAGUGAGAGCUUAGGGAGAGAUUAGAGAGAGAAACCACUAUCCAUUUUCUCUUACUUGAAAAAGAGCAAAAUAAUGUAUUUUUAUGCAUUCUGCGACUUGACUCCCUUUCUUACUUUUCAUUUUGUAUUAUUAAUGUAAUGUUUUGACUUUAUUAUUUACAUGGCCAAAAGGCCUACAUUAUCAAUAUAUUGCAAUUUUAUUUCCUGCCAAUCUAUCAUUUCUAUACUGUUCAUCUAUUGAAGUGUUAUUAGUAAUUUAAGUUCAUGAUAAGUUCUUAUAAGAGAUCUUUACUUAUAAGGUUUAUCACAUUUAGCUGAGUUUGACUCCAUCGCUUGGUCAACGUUCCUCAUCAACUACUCAAGAGAGUAAGUAGCAAGGACAUAGCUAAACAUGUGCAUGAAGAAGUUUAGAUGUAAAGUCCUAGUUUAGGAGUGAGACAUGAAUGAACCGGUAUCAUAUCUAAGUGAGAGGGAUCCUGAGGAUAUGAAAUCAAGAUAUGAAAGUAAUGUUAAGAAAGACUUAAAAGAAUUAAAAGUUACUACCUAUACCAACAAGGUGCACUUUCCUUUUCUGUGGCUCGAUCAUAGGAUCUCCAAAGUUAAGUGUGCUUAGCUUGGAGCAAUUCCAUGUUCGGUGACCUCCUGGAAAUUUUCUUAGAAUGCAUGUGACUGACGAGACAAUGCAUGCUGAAAGGACUUAAGUUGGUUUGUGGUGCACUUAUGUAGAUUGUUAAUAAUAUGAAACCAUAUAUUGCAUUCUCAAUAAAUUUAUUAGCCAUAUAUAAUUCGUUUCCGACAAAAAGACUUUGGAAUGAAAUGAAGCAUGUACUUCAUUAUCUCUGAGGAACGAGCGAUAUGAAUUUGUUACAUUAAAAUAUAUCAAAAUUUAAUAUAGUUGGUUUUGUAAAUUCUGGAUAUUUAUCUGAUCCACAUAAAGUUAGGUCUCAAAUAGAUUAUUUGCUAAUAAAUGGAGGAACUGCUAUAUCAUGAUGAUCAUUGAAGCAAACCAUAACAGUUACUUUCUCAAAUCAUGUUAAAUUCUUACAAUUCACGAUGUUAGUUGAGAAUGUGUAUGGUUCAGAUCAAUGACUCAACACAUUCGAUUAGGAGUGUGUACCUAUGAUCACUCGCAUGACUAUGUGUUCCUACGAAAAUCACUCACGAUUAAAGGUGUUCAUACGGUCUUACUAACCCAAGUGUGCUCCACUGAGCUCACGACAUUAUUUUUAUGUUCCUAAAUGGAAGUUAACAGAUUACCGACUGGGACCAAUAGUAGGUCAUUUACGAGGUAUAUUUUUAUACACUCACUAUUUUUUAUAUUUAAUAUUUCAGGCAAAAGGUAAAGGAUUUGAAAAGCUAGCGAUCGAUAGGAAGGGCCCGUGACAUGCCAUAUGGAGACCUUAUUCUACUUUCGCUUCUAUUUAUUUCAGUUUUUCAGUAUUAUGUUUUUUAGACAUUUUUAAUUAAAUUUUUAUCCUAUUUGUUUAACUUUAUUUUAUUUAAAGAACUGUUAGAACCUGCAGGUCAUAUUUUCAUUGGAGAAGAUAUGCUCAAUUUAUUAGAAGAGACACUCUAUUCAUUGGAUAAGAGAUGCUAAAUAUAUAUAAAAACGAGACAAUAUAAUCGUUGGAGAAGUAAUGCUUAAUUUUUUUUUGAAGAAGAUCAAUUUGUGGAUAAGUUUGUUCUAGUUGGUUUUAAUAAAUUUGAGUUGACGUAGUUUCAGACUCAAUCACCACAAGGCACAAUUUGAUUAGAUGAGUUACUUAGUAUCACAUUUGUCGAUAAUUAAUUUAAAUUAAUGACAUGUCAAUUUAUGAUUGACCAAAAUUUCUUAGUCAACAAUAACUAUUAUGAAUAUUUAAGUUCUUUGCCAAUUUUUUUAAUUUAAAAAAUUAUAUUUUUUUUUUAGUUUUAAAAUUUUGAUUUUGAUUAAAAAAACACUACUCUAUAAAUCUAAAUUAUACAAAAUAUAGAAAACAAUAAAAGUAAUAUCAAUUGUGUUUAUUUUUAUUUAAAACAAAAAAUUAAGGACGAUUUGGUAAUUUUUUGGUUAUUGUUUAAUUUUUUAAAAUUGUGUUUUCUUUCAAACAUUUUUUUAUGCAUGAUUUUCAUAUUUGGUAAGUAAACAUUUAAAACCUUAUCCAAUUUUAAAAUCCAAAAGUUUCUUUUUUAAAACAUCUUGAUCUUAAAUACUAUUUGAGCCAAUCUUUUGCUUACUACUCAACAAGAUUUGUUGAUUUUAUUAAGAUGGAUGAUACCAAUUAUGUUAGGCAAGUAAUAUCUCUCCUAGUACAAUCAUAUAAUUGGAAUUGGAUAUUAGAUAAAUAACAAAUCAAUGAGAGACUUUUCACUCACUUAACCAAUCAUGACUACCAACCAAAAUUUUGAUGCAACCUUGUCAAUUUAAAGUGAUUGAUUUUCUUUUCUUUUUCUUUAUUUUCUCUUUAGAAGAAACUUCUAUUGAUUGUAUGUUUAAUUAACAUAACUGACUGUACGAUUGGAUUGUUUAUGAAAAAAUAUUUUUUAAUAAUAAAUUCUUUAAAAAAUCUUUUCUGUAAAAUGAGUUUAAAAUCUAAACACUUUCAUGUUUGGUUUGACCUCUUUAUAAAUAUUUAUAUGUAAAAUUGUGUUUGAUUUGUCCUAUACUAACAAAUGUUUAUACUUAAUUCAAAUUACUAUAAAAGUCUAUUAAACAUUGUAAACUGAUUUCAUAAAUAAAUACACGUAUUUUGAAUUUUUUUUAGAAAUAUAUUUUAAAAUUAAUUGCACGUUGUUUUGAAAUUAUUAAUUUUGUAGUUACUUAAAACAUUAAUUUCAUUUUUUGUAUUAAUUUUCUUGGAUAAUUCAAUUUUAGAAGCACAAAUAACUUGAAAUGUAAAUACAUAACUACAAAAAAAAUAUUUGAUUCCCAACAAUAAAAUAUAUAUAAAUAAGAUAAAUAUUUUUUUCGAGACAAUAUAAUAUCAAUUAGACAAAAAGAUGUACAAUUUGAUCGCGAUCUUAAUUCAUCUUUAAUUCACGAGCCGAAAAUUCAUCAUUGACAUCCUCAUGAUUUCUUUCACAAAUGUUAGGGUGAAGUAGAUUUGGUUGAGAAAUGAACAUUUGUAAAUCCCUAUAUUUAAAUGUAUAUGAUCACACAUUGAAAAAAAUUCAAAGUAUUUGAAAAUUAACAAAAACAAAUAGAAAACAAAACAAAAAGAAUGACAGAGUGAAAAAUAGAUAGUAAAAAUGAAAAUAAAAAAUAGAGGAAGAAAAAUAGACAUUUGGAAGAGAUUCCUCGUUAAACACCAAAGAAACAUUUAUUCUAAAAUUUAGUUGCAUAUGUUUUCUCUAAAAUGAUUUAUUUUAUAAUCUCAUUUUUCUAAAACUUAUUUUAAACCAAUACGAAACACCUCAAUUUAUCUUAAAAUGAAUUAUUUUAAAAAUUAAACACUUCAAAAAUCAAUCCAAACACACUUUUACAAAUUGUUGGGCGGGUGAAAAUUGUGUGGCACCCUAGUUAUCAUACAUAAAGAAAAAGAGAAACAUGAUUGUAAAUCCCUUCUAAAAUUUAAAAAUAUGUUUAAAUGACACAUUUAAAAUUAGAACUAAAUUGUUAUAGGACCAGCUACUUACCUUCUUUUAUGUCUUUCAUGAUGUUAUCUAUUUUUCUAAUAAGUUAAUUCUAAUUAAUUUAGUUUUAAUUUCACUUGAAAUAUAUAUGUAUCUAUGACUUUUCAUUUUGUUAAUCGUUCUAAGACUUUACAUCUCAUAUAUUUGUACUAAUAUAUUAUUGUUUUUACAGGUCCUUACUUGUUUAAGGUGUUGAAUUGAUAUUAAAUGUUUAACGUUUAUAUGCUUGAAAGUUUAUAAUGUUUGAGGAGUUUGAUAACAUAUAUAAAUACUCGUUAUUAUAGUCCUUUUUAGUAGAAUAAUGAGGAUAAUACACAUAAAAAGAGUAUCAAAGCACAUAAUCUAUGUUGUAAAUACAUAAGUAUUUAGAAAUAUAUACGUAUUUAGAAAGCAUUUAGAAAUACAUACGUAUUUAGAAUUACAUAAGUAUUUAGAAAUACAUACGUAUUUAGAAAGUAUUUAGAAUUAUAUACGUAUUUAGAAAUACAUCUUACACAAGCAUUAUGCCUGUUUAGGCGAUUGCCAUGUCUAAACGUAGGAUGAUUAAAAAGGCAGAAACUAGUGAAUCAUAGGAGACAUCUUUUGUAAAGGCUACGUGAUGGGAACUCAUUUGGUGAAAGGAAUAGUCUUUCAGCUAGGCUGUAAAGAGUUUCUUCUUCUUCUCCAAUGAAACUUUUGUUGGGAUUUAUAUCCUAAAACUCGUAGAUUGUAAAUAUAAUUUAUUGACUGUUGUUAAUAAAAUGUUAUUAUAGUAAUAAUUGUUAUUGACUAUAUUAUUAGUUUUGUCUUAAUAACUAAAAUACAGUAAACUAACAUCUUAAGCUGUUUGAUAUGUCUUGAAUAGUAUGUAGAGACAUACAGAGAUCAAUGUUCGAGAUCAACUUAAUGGGUCUAUAGUAUAGGGAUAAGAUUGGGCACCUUAUCCUGGUAAAACUAUGGACACAACUCACUUUAUUUUUUUUAUAUAAACAUAAUGAUCAAACGCGUUCGUGUAGGUGACAUGGGAGUGAGGGUAUCCUAUACAAUGAGUUUGCAUAUGAGCAGACCACAAAAUAGUAACCAAUAGAUGUAACUCUAUUAACUAGUUAGGUUUCUAUUUCGUUAAGAUGACCUAGGUAACUUAGUCUAAAUCAUGAGUGUAUUAUGAACUCCUGUUCGCGAGGGAUUAUCCUUUGAUUUGUAUGGGUGAGAAUGGUCGGAUCACCGACUCAAUAAGCUUAUCAUUUUAAGAACAAGACUGAGUUGACAGUUGGAAACAUAAUUAUAUAAGCUGGAAUUCACUCAUUCCCUACCUAACAGUAAGUAGAUGAGUGUUCCCUUAAUGGUGACUUCAAGACUUGAACAAAGGACUCUACCCUCUCUAUGGCACGAGAGGGGUUUCUGUUUAUUGGUUAGACCAUAAACAGGUUGUUCAUUAGAGGAGCACAGGUAUUUAAGGAUUAGAGGUAACCCAGGGGUAAAAUGGUAAAUUGACCCAGCUGGUGUUACGAACACUCGUGAAGGACUAACUUACUUUUAUUUUUCUAUAUCCAUGGACACAUAAAUUUAUCUACCGUGAGAAAAGUUCAGUUGUGCGUCUUUAGUGGACACAUAGUUAACAAAUAUUGAUUAAUGUGGUUAAUGAGUUUAGCCAAUUUAUCUCACAUCAUUGUAGCUUUCUGAUCUGUAGGUCUAUUAGGUCACCUUUCUAGCUCGUAAAAGGUAAUAAGAUUUAUUUAUAUUUGUUCUAAUUUGAAAUGUUCAAAUUUAUAUUUGUUCUAAUUUGAAGUGCCUCUUCCUUAAACACCGUAUAACUCUUUUAUGUAGUACUCGACUUUUGACUCUCAUAUACGAUGGAGUGUCCAUUCUGCACAAGACAUAAUCCAACGUAUAAUCGGAUACAUCAACAUGAGCUUCAAUAGGUCCGGUUACACCCACAGACCCCAUAGUUGGCCCUUCCAUUUGGACUUGAUUCAAGACACGAUUGUCGACACACAACCGUACAUUUCCAUUAUCUUCUUUCCGUAAAAAGACUUGGACUUCGUACAAAGCAUUUGCAGGUCUAAUUAAUCUUGCACUUGACAAUCUGUUUGACUGCCUCUGAAGUUCAGGUAACUCUAGUGGCACCAUAUGACAAGCAUUCUUUGUAGGCGAUUCUAACUUGGGUAAACUAUCAACCAUCUCAUCCCAAUACUUCUCCAUGACACACCUUGUGUCUUUACGAAGUGUCUCCCCCAAGCUAUCUGCAAACUCAAAUGAUGUGACCUCAAAUGUUGUUUCGUCUCGAAUGAGGCCCUCUCUCAGUUGCAUGGCCGGAAUCAUUCUCAAUCUUUUGGGUUGGUUGAAAGCAUUAGGAUCACCUGAUGUUCAAGGAGGAAUUCCAUUCCAGGUACUACAUCAAAGUCAUCCAUACAUAUAACCACAAAGUCUACAGGCCCGCUUCAUCCUUCCAACUGUAUCAUCGUUCGUUUCACUAAUUCGACGACAGGUAAAAUUGUAGAAUUCAUGACCUUCAUUUUUUCUCUAUCCUUCUUCCAAUGAAUGUUCAUCCAUCUUACUUCUGUCACCAUUAUGAAAUUGUGGGUUGCAUCAGAGUCAACCAUAUGCUCUUCGCGUGCUUCCAGUUGACCUAGGUGUCAACAUAUAUUAGAGCCCCUUUCACAUGUUUACUUGUCUCCCCCACUUUCUUCUAAAGACAGAACAAGAAUCUUAUGGCUCCUACUCUAGGAUUCUCAACUUCCUCUACUUGGCCAACUUCCUUUUUUAAUUGACUCAACUUGUCAUCUGAGUCUGAAGCAAAAGAGGUCUGAAAGGCAUAGAAGGGCAAUUUAUUCAGACACUCCUUAGCUCGAUGUGACCCGUCACAUAUGUAGCAACUGAAAUGAUGACUUCAUGUGUUCAAACUAUUAUGUCUUCGUCAGGUGUUCCCUGUGUUGGGUUGGGAAGAUUUGCAAUCUCUACCGGAACUUCUGUCUUCAUUGUCAGCUUCAGGAGAAUUCGACCGACUUUUAGAUAUAAUUGGUUUUUUCUUGAAGGAUUUGUUGGAAAAUUUAGAAAAAGUUAAUUUGUGAAAUUUUCCUACCAAUUCAACCUCAAUUUUCGGUAAGUUAAAUUGAAAAAUUUUAGAAGUUGGCUAAUUAAAAUUUGUUAAGUGAAGUGAUUGAAAUUUUUUCCUUAUUGUUUAGGAUUGAUUUUAAAUGGGAAAAAUUGAUUGACAACCAAGGAUUUUCUUUUAGGUAAUCUCAGGUAAGAGAUGCUACUAUUGGACCCUCGAGUGAAAAUUUAAGAUUGUGCAUGUAUUGACUGAUUGUGCAUUGACAAUUGGUAAAAUGCAUAGAUGGGUUGUAAGAGAUUAUACUACUCGACCUUCGAACAUAAAUUUAAGAAUCUACAUGUAUCGACUGAUUAUGCAUUGACACUAAGUAAAAUGCGUAGUUGAGUUGUAAGAGAUUAUACUAUUGGACCUGGAAACAUAAAUUUAAGAUCAUGCAUGUAUUGACUAAUUAUGCAUUGACAUUAGGUAAAAUAUAUAAAUGAGUUGUAAGAGAUUCUACUACUGCACCUUCGAGUGAAAAUUUAAUAGUGUUGCAUGUGUCUACUGAUUAUGUAUUGAGAGGCUAAAAUGCAUAGGUGAGUAUGUAGGAGUUGUUUGUAACGACCCAACAUUUCUAAGUAAGUCGAGGUCGUUAAUUUUUAACAAAUAAACUUUGAUUGAUACAAAUCGAAACAUAAGUCAAUUUAAAAACAAAACAUGUCAGGCCUGAUUUUCAAAUAUUCAAGAAAACUUAACAACAACACUAUUUACAAAUAAAAGUUUGUAAACUAAGUUUUAGUACAUCUUAAACCUUAAAAGAAAUCAUAAGCGGAAGCAAAAUAACACAUUCCCUAUGGCAAUCACGCUUCCUUCCUGCCCCUCGCCGGUUUGCCACCUUUAUUUCCUUUGCCUGAAAAUUAAACAUAAGAAGGGUGAGUAUAACAAUACUCAGUAAGAGACCCUCUACUGGUCUCGUCAGGGGAAAAUAAAUUGUUAAAGUUCUAUUGGGACACCCUGUACAGUCGCAGUCUUGUGAUCCCGUAGGAUACACAUUUCAGUCUAACGCCCCGAAGGACGUACAUAUCAGUCUGACGCCCCGAGGGACGUACAUAUCAGUCAAGUGUUCUGCAGAACACAUAUCAGUCAAAUGCUCCCGAAGGUGCAAAAUAAAUUGGUGAUCCCGUGGGACACCUACAAGGUAAUCAUCCCAAUACAACCUAACAAUCUAUCCCCUCAUUCCAUUCAACCCAUCCUUCAGAUACUUCAAAACAUAGAGUUCUUUCUCUCAACGUCCUAACAGUCAACUUAUCUCACUUAGGUCAUAUGUCUGUCAAUAACAUACUAAUACAUCAGUCAAUCAAACUAUACAGUCAAUACACCCCUCAGAUCACCAGCACACAGUCAUACUUUAGCGUAACGACACCCAAUCUAAACGACAAUCACAAGAUCGCAUCUGCAUCUCAUACAAGCAUAAUCUACAAUUUUCGUCCUGUCCACAUCCACACACAUAUAUAUAUAUUCCAUGACAAUCACAAUAUGCAUUCCACAUUAAGUCUACUUCAAUUCCUAUGCAUAUAUAUAUAUAUUUUCAGUCAAUCCACAGUGUACAUUCAGCACCGAAUCUACACCCAUACGUGUAUAAACAUAAGUAUCAUCUCAACAUCUUUACUCAGUCAAAGAUAAUCAUUUAGACAUGCAAUUCACAAUCAUAAGUGAGUCCAGUAGAAAAUCCCUUACCUUCAAAUUUGUUAAGCUCCUUAACCACGUUGAAGUCUAUGAAGAACGAACCUAAACAUUAAGAAAAUUUCUCAAUAAUUCCCUUCAACGCAUCAGUCAUUUAAAUUCAACCCAAUGUGAAUCUUUUUGCAACUUACCCAAAUCUUCGCGAAAGAAAUCGAGCAGUGGCUUUGCGAAGAGAUGACGUGCGGCGGAAAGACCGUAUACAGAUGGCCGGAGAGUCGCGCGGCAGUGCAGACGACGGAGGAGAAGAAAUCGGCGGCGGCUGGGCUGAAAACAGAGGAGAAAGGAGAGGGGAGACAGCCGGCGGUUACAGGUUCACGCGGCGGCCUUGCUUCGCGAACAGAGAUGGCGGCCGACGGUUGCAGCGACGUCCGGCUGGGUUUGGACGGAACGGAGAGGAAAAGAGAAGAUGGAGAUGGCCGACGGCAGUUGCUGUGCGAACGGAUGGGGCGGCUGACUGCGGUUGGCUGCGGCAGGACGGGAAGAAGAAUAGGGAAAAUGGGUGGGCGGCUGCUAGGGUACCGGAAGGAGAAGAAAAGAAAAAUGAGAGAGGGGUUGUGUGCGCGCGAGAGAGAGAGGUAAAUUUCUUUUUCUUUUCUUUUUAUUUAAAUUAAGUAUAAAAAUAUAUAUAUAUAUAUAAAAUUAAAAACAAAAUAUAUAUAUACAUACCUUUGGGGCAUUACAUUCUUCCCUCCUUAAGAAACUUUCGUCCUCGAAAGUUCUAAUCCUGAAAUAACUCUGGAUAACGAGUCCUCAUUUCUUCCUCUCGCUCCCAUGUCGCCUCUUCAAUUCGAUGAUUCCGCCACAAAACCUUUACUAAUGGAAUGCUUCUAUUACGAAGCAUCUUUACCUCUCUAGCCAGAAUCUCCACAGGUUGUUCUACAUAGCUCAAAUGCUCAUCAAUCUCCAAGGGUUCAUAGUCCACUACAUGAGACGUAUCGGCCACAUACUUCCUCAACAUCGAAACAUGGAAAACAUUAUGAACUGCAGAGAGUGAUGGUGGUAAUGCCAAGCGAUACGCCACAACACCAACCCUCUCUAAGAUCUCAAAUGGUCCAACAAAACGAGGACUUAACUUCCCUUUCUUCUCAAAACGCAUAACACCCUUCAUAGGUGCUACCUUCAAGAAUACCUUUUCUCCCACAUCGAACUUAAGGUCUUUUCGCCGUACAUCUGCAUAACUCUUCUGUCUACUCUGCGCUGUUUGCAUACGUGCUCUAAUCUUUUGAAUAGCCUCAUUAGUAGACCGAACUAAUUCAGGUCCCAUCAAUCUAUGUUCACCAACCUCACUCCAACAAACAGGGGUUCUACAACAUUUGCCAUACAAAGCCUCAAAUGGUGCCAUACCGAUGGUAGCCUGGAAACUGUUGUUAUAAGCAAACUCCAUCAAAUGUAGAUGAGAGUCCCAACUACCUGGAAACUCUAUAACACAAGCUCGUAGCAUAUCCUCUAAAACUUGGUUCAAACGUUCAGUUUGACCAUCAGUCUGUGGAUGAAAGGCUGUACUGAAAUCCAAUCUCGUACCCAUAGCAGUCUGAAGUCCCUUCCAAAACUUGGAAGUAAACCGUGCAUCCCUAUCAGAAACAAUCGAUACAGGCACUCCAUGCAGUCUCACAAUCUCAGUUAAAUACAACUCUGCCCACUUACUAGCAGUAUAAGUGGAUUUUCCUGGUACAAAAUGUGCCGAUUUCGUAAGCCUGUCUAUGACAACCAGAAUCACUGUGAAACCCUUCAGGGUCUUAGGCAGCCCUGAAAUAAAAUCCAUCGACACAUUCUCCCACUUCCACUCUGGCACACUUAAAGGUUGUAAUAAACCUGCUGGUUUCUGUCUAGGUGCCUUAACUUGCUGACAUACUAGACACUUACUAACAAAUUCCGCCACUUCCCUUUUCAUAUUCCGCCACCAAUAAAAUCGUUUUAGAUCCUGAUACAUUUUCGUGCUACCAGGAUGCAUGGAAAAUGGGGAAUUAUGGGCUUCAUCUAGUAAGUCAAUCUUAACUGUACUGUUCGCUGGCACACAUAAACGUCUCUCAAACAUCAACCCACCAUCAGAGGAUAUGGAGAACUCAUCAGUCUGCCCUGUUUCAACAAGGCGACGUCUCUCCAUCAAAUAAGGAUCAUUACUCUGAGCAUCAACAAUCUUGUGCCUCAGAGUCGGUUGCACCGUUAAUUGAGCUAGCUGUGAGGUGACUCUCCCCACAGACACUGCAAUCUCAGCUCUCUCCAAGUCUCGAUGCAAUGGUACCUGUCUAGUAAUGAGUGCUGCCGAAUGUGAUACUUUUCUACUAAGAGCAUCAGCCACCACAUUCGCCUUACCAGGAUGGUAUAAUAUCUCACAGUCAUAAUCUUUUACCAACUCGAGCCACCUUCGCUGUCUCAUAUUCAACUCCUUCUGAGUGAAGAAGUACUUUAGGCUCUUAUGGUCAGUAAAGAUUUGUAUCUUUUCACCGUACAAGUAAUGUCUCCAUAUCUUCAAUGCAAAAACCACUGCUGCCAACUCCAAAUCAUGUGUGGGGUAGUUCUGCUCGUGACUCUUCAACUGACGAGAGGCAUAAGCAACCACCUUACCUUUCUGCAUCAAAACACAACCCAGUCCUUUCUUGGAAGCAUCACUGUAAAUCACAAAACUUCCAGAUCCAUCUGGUACAGUAAGGACCGGUGCAGUAACUAACCUUUGCUUAAGGUUCUGAAAACUAUCCUCACAAGCUGGACUCCAAACAAACGGAGUUCCCUUCCUUGUCAACUGAGUCAAAGGAGUAGCCAAACGUGAAAAAUCCUCCACAAACCUCCGGUAGUACCCUGCUAAACCCAGAAAACUACGAACCUCACUAACUGUAGAGGGUCGAGACCAACUGGUAACCGCUUCUAUCUUUGCAGGGUCUACUGAAACUCCCUCACUGGAAACCACAUGACCAAGAAAAGCCACCUGCUUCAACCAAAAUUCGCACUUCGAGAACUUAGCAUACAGUUUAUUGGCUCGAAGAGUCUCUAAUACCUUAUGUAAAUGUUCCUCAUGUUCGACUUCAGUCUUGGAAUAAACCAAGAUAUCAUCAAUGAAGACUAUCACAAAAGUGUCCAAGAAAUCCUUAAACACCCUGUUCAUCAAAUCCAUAAAUACAGCAGGUGCAUUAGUCAAACCAAAAGACAUCACUAUGAAUUCAUAAUGUCCAUACCUCGAACGAAAGGCAGUCUUAGGAAUAUCACGGUCUCUAAUCCUCAACUGGUGAUAACCUGACCGUAAGUCAAUCUUAGAGAACACCGUGGCUCCCUGUAACUGAUCGAACAAAUCAUAGAUUCUGGGUAAAGGAUAUCUGUUCUUGACUGUUACUUUAUUCAACUCUCUAUAGUCAAUGCAAAGACGCAUCGACCCAUCCUUCUUCUUCACAAACAAUACUGGUGCACCCCAAGGUGACACACUAGGUCGAAUAAAGCCUUUGUCAAGCAAUUCCUGUAACUGUACCUUCAGUUCUUUCAACUCAGCAGGAGCCAUCCUAUAAGGGGCUCUAGAAAUAGGAGUAGUGUUUGGCUCCAACUCAAUGGCAAAAUCAACCUCUCUAUGUGGCGGUAGUCCUGGAAGAUCUUUUGGAAAUACAUCUGGGUAUUCUCUUACCACAGGUUCUGAAGUUAAAGAAGUCUCACCUUCCCUAGUAUCCACCACACUUGCCAAAAUACUCCAAGUACCCUGGUUGAGUAGUUUACUAGCUUUCAUAGCUGAGAUUACUUUAGGCAGUACUACUGUUCCUACUCCCUUGAAUUUAAAGCUAGAUGCAGUAGGGGGACUGAACACAACUUCCUUACGAGAACAAUCAAUACUAGCAUGAUUAGUAGCUAGCCAAUCCAUACCUAAAAUUACAUCAAAGUCACGCAUAUCUAAUACCAACAAGGUUACGUCCAGCACACGACCAGCUAUCUCAAUUUCACAUGCUUUAAUCUUUUCCUUAGACAACAUAAUUUCUCCAGACGGUGUAGACACUGACAAAACAUAGUCUAAGGGUUCCACCUCUAAGCAUGCAUGCGUCACAAAAAGCGAUGAAAUAAAUGAAUGAGAAGAUCCCGAGUCAAACAAGGUCAAGGCAAAAUGCCCUAAUACUGGUAAUGUACCUGUCACUACUGUGCCGGCCUUCUCUGCCUCUGAUCUAUUAGUGGCAAAGAUUGUACCCCGCUGUGGAGGUCUCUCUCCCUGACUGCUCGAUCCAGCCCCAGUAGAUCUCAAGGGACACCUAUCAGCCAUGUGUCCCUUCUUGCUUGCACUUAUAACAGACUCUCGUUCCCAUCAAACAACGACCCAGGUGGCGUUUCCCACACGUAUCACAUACUGGCCUCUCUUGAGUAGUGUCUCCUGCACCGCCAGAACUCUGCUGGAAACUGCGAAAAGAAUCACCUGGUCUCAUGUUCCUCUGAGGAACUCCUACAGUUCUCUGCUCUACUUUUCUCUUUUGACCCGACGACGAUCCCUUAUUAAAGCUCCUUGGCUGUCUUUCAUCCUUCCCAAUACUCAUAUCCACUGCCAGACGCAGUGCUUCAGCUUGGGUAGUGGGCUUUAGUGCUCGCACAAAACCCCUAAUUUCAUCUCUCAAUCCCUUGACGAACCUAUCAGCUCUAGCCUGCUCAUUACUAACAAGCUCAGGGGCAAAACGUGACAGCAUAUCAAACUCCUGGUCGUACUCCUCGACUGUCAUAUAUCCUUGCUUCAACUCCAAGAAUUCCUGGCUUUUGGCGUCUCUAAGGUUAGCCGAGAAAAACUUGGUAUAGAAGCAGUCCUUAAACUGAUCCCAGGUAAUCUGCCUCACAUCUCCACCUAGCAUGCGCAUUGUAGUCCUCCACCAGAUAAUGCCUCUGUCCCUCAGUAGAAAAGCAGCACACUGAACUCUGUGCUCCUCGGGACAUCUCAUGUAAUUAAAUAUGGUUUCCACAGAGGACAACCACAUUUCAGCUUUAGUAGGAUCCUCCAGUGACCCAUCAAACGUCUGAGGGUCAUACUUCCGAAAGUCCCUCAAAUGUUUCGCCUCAGCAGAAAGUUGGUUAGGUAAUUCUUGUGCAGGAGGGGCUGCUGGUGCAGGGGGAACUACAGGUGCAGGUGGGACUGCAGGUGCCUGCUGGUUUUGAGCUAUAGCUGUCAUAAGUUCUGUAAACCUCUGCUCCAUGUGAGCAGACAGUGCAUCAAACUCGACGUGAGUCACGGGUGCAGCAGGAAUUCGCUGUUCAGCUUGACCCUCAGUAGGCUGAUUACGACCUGCUCCUCUACCUCGGCCUCCUGCUCCUCUACCUCGGCCUCUACGACCUCCUCUACGUACUUCUUCCCUUGGCGGCAUAAUUCCUAUUAUCCACCAACAACACUCUUUAACAAAAUCUUAAUCAUAAACAUAAGCAAGUCUUUAUCGUCAUGCAAUCUAGUUUAAUUUAGGCAAGGUCAUGCAAAUAAACCAUACAUAUAAGCAUCAAGCAUACCUGACGAGAGACGAAGGGUCGCGUUUGCCAUAGGAACACAAAAACAUAGACUUACAUCGUAAGUCAGUCUACAGAACCUAAAACUUAGGCUCUGAUACCAACUGUAACGACCCAACAUUUCUAAGUAAGUCGAGGUCGUUAAUUUUUAACAAAUAAACUUUGAUUGAUACAAAUCAAAACGUAAGUCAAUUUAAAAAAAAAAACAAUGUCAGGCCUGAUUUUCAAAUAUUCAAGAAAACUUAACAAUAAUACUAUUUACAAAUAAAAGUUUGUAAACUAAGUUUUAUUACAUCUUAAACCUUAAAAGAAAUCAUAAGCGGAAGCAAAAUAACACGUUUCCUAUGGCAAUCACGCUUCCUUCCUGCCCCUCGCCGGUUUGCCGCCUUUAUUUCCUUUGCCUGAAAAUUAAACAUAAGAAGGGUGAGAUUUUAAAAUACUCAGUAAGAGACCCUCUACUGGUCUCGUCAGGGGAAAAUAAAUUGUUAAAGUUCUAUUGGGACACCCUGUACAGUCGCAGUCUUGUGAUCCCGUAGGAUACACAUUUCAGUCUAACGCCCCGAAGGACGUACAUAUCAGUCUAACGCCCCGAGGGACGUACAUAUCAGUCAAGUGUUCUGCAGAACACAUAUCAGUCAAAUGCUCCCGAAGGUGCAAAAUAAAUUGGUGAUCCCGUGGGACACCUACAAGGUAAUCAUCCCAAUACAACCUAACAAUUUAUCCCCUCAUUCCAUUCAACCCAUCCUUCAGAUACUUCAAAACAUAGAGUUCUUUCUCUCAACGUCCUAACAGUCAACUUAUCUCACUUAGGUCAUAUGUCUGUCAAUAACAUACUAAUACAUCAGUCAAUCAAACUAUACAGUCAAUACACCCCUCAGAUCACCAGCACACAGUCAUACUUUAGCGUAACGACACCCAAUCUAAACGACAAUCACAAGAUCGCAUCUGCAUCUCAUACAAGCAUAAUCUACAAUUUUCGUCCUGUCCACAUCCACACACAUAUAUAUAUAUUCCAUGACAAUCACAAUAUGCAUUCCACAUUAAGUCUACUUCAAUUCCUAUGCAUAUGUAUAUAUAUUUUCAGUCAAUCCACAGUGUACAUUCAGCACCGAAUCUACACCCAUACGUGUAUAAACAUAAGUAUCAUCUCAACAUCUUUACUCAGUCAAAGAUAAUCAUUUAGACAUGCAAUUCACAAUCAUAAGUGAGUCCAGUAGAAAAUCCCUUACCUUCAAAUUUGUUAAGCUCCUUAACCACGUUGAAGUCUAUGAAGAACGAACCUAAACAUUAAGAAAAUUUCUCAAUAAUUCCCUUCAACGCAUCAGUCAUUUAAAUUCAACCCAAUGUGAAUCUUUUUGCAACUUACCCAAAUCUUCGCGAAAGAAAUCGAGCAGUGGCUUUGCGAAGAGAUGACGUGCGGCGGAAAGACCGUAUACAGAUGGCCGGAGAGUCGCGCGGCAGUGCAGACGACGGAGGAGAAGAAAUCGGCGGCGGCUGGGCUGAAAACAGAGGAGAAAGGAGAGGGGAGACAGCCGGCGGUUACAGGUUCACGCGGCGGCCUUGCUUCGCGAACAGAGAUGGCGGCCGACGGUUGCAGCGACGUCCGGCUGGGUUUGGACGGAACGGAGAGGAAAAGAGAAGAUGGAGAUGGCCGACGGCAGUUGCUGUGCGAACGGAUGGGGCGGCUGACUGCGGUUGGCUGCGGCAGGACGGGAAGAAGAAUAGGGAAAAUGGGUGGGCGGCUGCUAGGGUACCGGAAGGAGAAGAAAAGAAAAAUGAGAGAGGGGUUGUGUGCGCGCGAGAGAGAGAGGUAAAUUUCUUUUUCUUUUCUUUUUAUUUAAAUUAAGUAUAAAAAUAUAUAUAUAUAUAUAAAAUUAAAAACAAAAUAUAUAUAUACAUACCUUUGGGGCAUUACAUUGUUGGUUGAUUUUAUGUUACGUUUAUGCAUGUUUGGAUUAUAUGCUUAUAAACUGUUAUGAUUGAUGUUUCAUGUCAUGUUAUUUUGACUAUUACAUGCUUCUUGGACUGAUGGUGUCUAUUAGCUUUGACUAUUAGGUUUUGUGUGCCCUACAUGUAUAGCGUCCCUCGAGAUCACCACGAUAUACAUUAUGGCUAUGUGCGUUUAAUAGGACCACUAGUCUAUCAGUCUCCUGGUGGGCCGAUGGGAUCACUCACAACCCGAUUUAUUGUAUGUUCCUUCGGGAUCAUCAAACUAUGAGUGUUCCUAUGAGAUCAUUAGUUCAGGUAUGUUCCACUGGGCACAUGAUAGUAUUAUUUUAUGGUACCUCCCAACAGGAAGUUAAUAGAACAUCUGGCGAGCGAUAGGGGGGCAUGUGACAUAUCAUAUGGAGACUCACUUUUGCUUCCACUUUACAUUAUUCAUUUUUUACUAUUUUUUAAUUUAAAGAUUUUAUUUAAAAAAUUUAUUUUAUUUAUUUAUUUUCUAUAAAAUUUGUAAAACUAGCUACAAUAUGUUUUCAUAGUAUUUCACGGAUUUUAUUAAUUUUUGUUUUAUGAACAUUUGUUUGAAAAUUAUUUUAAUAAAGUUUUAAGAAACUAUCAAAACACUUUUAUUUAUAUUUAAAAUAAUGACCUCAACUUAGUAUAAAAGGUUGUCUCCUUACAUUUUACAUUUUGGGCAUUGACAUUCUACUUCACUUUCUUAACUCAUACGUUAGAUGUAAUUUCAUCUGCAGACAAAUUUUUUAAUGCCUCAAGUUUGAAAUAUUUUGUGAUUUAUUGAGGUGUUUUUUUUUUCUUCCUCCUAAUUCUAGUUUAUCUUACAUUGUCAUUGGAUAUUAACACCAAUAUGCAAGUUCUAUUUUUUUUUUUUUAAUUUUACACUCAAUGUUAUUCUGAUUUACUUCAACAUUUCAAUUAGAAAAAAAAAUAUAGAGUAGAGGAGUCAAGGGGGAUGUAAUAGAACAAAAAUUAGUUUUUGAGUUUAUUUGAUUAAAAAAAUAUGUGUUUUCAUAAGAUAAUUAUAGAAUAAACUACCAAGAUGUUUUGGUUAUUUAUUCAUUUAAUAAAUAUGUUAAAUACAGAGCAUAAUUAUCCAAAUAUAAAUGUCAUAUCACACUUUAAUGGAAUUAUAGCACUGAGGACCAAAGUAAGUUCUUUUAAAAACAAAUUAGAACUAAAACCUACCUUUUUAAAAGUUGAAAAAUAGUAAAAGAAAUAAAAGUUGAAAAAUAGUAAAAGAAAAUAAAACAAAAUAGAUAUAGAGUUCAAAUUAAUAGGAUUUAAAUCUUUGUUUUCUCUAAAAUGUGUGUUUGUAUGAGAGUAAUUAUAGGGCUAUCAUUUUUUAAAAGGUAAAGGCAGCCAUAGCUUCUUUAGAUUUCCUUUGGUCAUUGAUUGACUCAAUAGUAGUAAUAAUUAGUUCAUUUUAACCUUUUGCACUAAUUAUCAAUUUGAAUUAUUUGUACUUCAUUGGUACACUUCAAAUUUAAAAUUUUGGUAAAAGCAAAAGUAGAAUAUCUAUUGCUAUUUAUUGCAGUCAAUUAGAAGGUUUGAAACUUAUAAAGUAUUAAUUUUAAAGAAAAAACAACAGUAAAAGUUAAUUGAUUGUAAUCUAUUAAUUAAUUAUAACGGUAAAAUUAUGCAUUAAAACAUUUAGUUUGACUAAAUCAUUUAUCAUGACUAAGCAAUUUGUUUUUAAUUCAGGUCAAAAAUAUAAAAAAAUAAAUAUAAUAAUUAUUUUAAAUAACAACAAAGUUAAAAAAUAUUAAAAUAUUUUUAAAUAUAGGAAAAUGUUAUUGACCAUAAAUAAUGUAUAUAGUGGUAAACAUGUAUUGAUAGACAUAAUCAUAGAUAAUGAUAUCAGUGUCAUCUUUCUUUAAGAAUACGCAUGAUAUUACUCCUAUUAUCGGUUCAUUGUAAAAAAAUGCAUUAUCGUUGUCAUAUCUAUUUGUAAUAACGAAAUCAUAGUUUGCAUGUUAAUAUAGAGUAAAAUAAAAAGAUGAAUGCAAUAAAAAAAUGUAUUGAUUAAAUAUUAAAAAGGAAAAUGAAGGGGAUGAUGAUGUAUGAUUGAUUUGCAUGCAUGAGAAAUAGAAAUAGAAGGGGUUAGGUUGGAAUAUAUCACAAUCUUGAGCCAUAUUGGCAAUGCCAAUUGGGACCCCAUUCUUCAUCCAUCAUGGGGGACAUACAUUUCUUCUUUGUCCUUUCCUUUUUACCCACUACCCCCAAUUUCUCACACAUCACAUUGGGAGAGAGACUUAUGAGAAAGAUGGAGACUUUAUGUGAGAGAACUUGAAAAGGACACCUUAUGCCAAUACAGAGUGGGUUUUUGAGCAAGAAAAGUUAUUUCUAUAAAAUCUCAAAUUCUUUAGAUCCCAUGGUAAAUUAUUUACCUCUAUCUAUCGGUAUCGCUCACAUUAUUGUUCCAAACUCGAGAGAUGGGAGAGUUUUUUUUCUUUAAUUAAUAACUUAACAUCUUUAAAAUCGAUAGAGAUAUGUUAAUUAAUUGAUCAACAAGAGAGACGGAUAAAAACUGAACGAGGAAAAGCAUAUAUUUUUACCUUUUUAAAAAGUGACAUAGCUUAAAAUGUUAAAAGCGUUUUAUCACCCGACUAAGAAAACAUAAAAUAUCUAAAUUGGUUGUACUUAGAGUGAGAAAGAGUUACGUUAGGGUUUUGUUUCUUUGAAAAAAAGAAUUGAACAUAUUAUUUUAAGAAAAAACUUGGUGCAUCCAUCUACGUGCUUCAUCUCUCCAUCCCAAAAGAAUAAUAUUAAAAAUCUUUUAUAAAAAUAAUUUUUAAUCUUGUUUUUGUGUAAUAAUCGAAUGGAUGCAAUCUAGAAUCGACCUAUUAUUUUAUAUGCUUUGCUUUUUGAUUGUUGAUGGAGAGAAUACGUUGCCUUACUUUUCCUUUCAUUCAUUACUUUCAUUGUUUUUUCCUUUCCCUCUCUCCUUUUCCUUUGUCCGACCAAAUUUCUUUGCCCACAAAGACUCUCCCUCUUUCCACAUCAACCACAUUCAAAGGAAUAGUUCAUCAUGUAGUAAAUAAAUAACUCAAGUACUAGUAUUAUGUUUUAAUUUUUUUUAUGUACUUUUAAAUAUUAUAAUACAUAAAUUUUUAACUCCAGUGAAAAUUCAAACAUAACUUUACCAAGUUCCUACUAAUUAAUGACCAUUUAUAUGUAUAUAUAUAUAUAAACAAUGGUAUACUGAUGUUGAUAUUUGUAUAUUCUUUAUUAGAGUUCUAUUGACAUAUACUACAGAUGUUGGUUUGUCUCCUUGACUUCAUAUUAUUAAGGUAACUACAUGUAAAAACAAACUAUCAUUUUAAUCAUUAAACACAAGCCUUAAACAAAAAAAAUAUCAAAUAAGUAUAUUAGUGGUAGACUUUUGUAUAUAACCAUCUAUCAAUGAUAAUGAUAAAACAAAGAAUAGAAAUGUAAUUAGUGUGUGAUAGAUAUGAUAUAUCAUGGUUUAUUAGUGAUAUAUAGUACAUUAUUGAUAUUGUCUACAACUUUCAUUCACUCACUAUAAAAACGUCAUAACUUCUACCACACACCUUACAUAGUUGUUGAGUCAAUGUUUAUAUGCAAACUUGGUUGAACCUCAAUAAUUCAUUUUCUAGCAUGCUCGAGUAAAUAUACGAUAAGGAUGAAGCUAGUAUGCCCUUUCUUUAGAGGAAGUCGCUAUAUCUCUCGUGAUGAUACAUAUGAAAUUUCUUUUUAUGUUUGUUUUGUUCUCAUGUUAAUGUUGGGUUGAUUUCUAAAAUGAAUGUUGUUUUUUUACUAAAUUCAAUGCUUUCAAGUAAGAUCGAUGAGUUGGAAAAAAUCGUUAACAUUAGAAAAUAAAAAUUAAGUCUUCUAUUGUUAUCAAUGUUAAUAAAUAUUGAUGUAUUAGGUUGAACUUUAAAAUAAAUAUUUAUUUUCAUACUAGGUGUUGCAUAAAAUAUAUGAAGUGGUGAUGAAGUUAUGAAAGCCAUAUAACAAAUGAUUGAUAAAUAAGAUUUCUUUUGUGGGAUUAGUAGAGAAACUUGGCUGUGAUGUCUAGCUUGCUUGUACAUUGCUUUUAACUUGUAAAACUUUUACCAAUUGUUGUUAUAGUUUCUUUGUAAACAUAUUGUCAAUUAUGUAUGAAAUUAAAGUUCUUUCACUAGUAGAAAAAUAGUCUACUAUGACAGUUGUAUAUAUCCCAAAUUGAAAGGAGAAAAUAAAAAACUGUCACAAAAGCUAAAAAACCGCGUUUUUGGCGGGAAAAGACGGAAUUUUUCGGAUUUUACUUUCCGCGACAGCUAUUUGGUGUCAUAAAAGAUACAAAAAAUAUUUUAUUUAAUUUAUUAAAAUAAAAUUUAUUUUAAAUAAAAAAUUUAUUAAAAUCAGAUUUUUUCCUAAUUCUAAAAACAUUAAAUAAUUUAUUUAUUAAAAUAAAACAUCUCCAAAACUUUUUCUCUACCUCCUCCUCUUCUUCUUCUUCUCUUCUUCUUCUCUUCUUCUUCUUCUAUGUGGAAGAUCCACACGUCCCCUCUUCGAUUUUUCCUCCCUUCCGCUAACCAUCUCUCUCCCUCUCUCACGUACACCGGAAAAGACUAGACUUUUGGUCAACAACGUGCAAAAUCCCUCUCUUUCUCUCCUUCAACCGAUGCAACCACCCAACACCCCUUGCACCGCUGAACUCACUGGUGAAUCUCAACCAUUAUUUCUAUUGUUUGUAUUUAUACAUUAUAUUAACUUCAAAUGCUUUCAUUUUACCCACAAUGUGAUAUAUUGAUGGUUCUUUUUAUGAAAAACACCCCUCAUGGUUUUGCUUUUAUAUGAGAUAUGUGUUUGUUUUGUCUACCAUCCUAUUCAAUAUUGUUGUUUACAAUCAUUUUUCUAAUUUGAAUCUACAUUUUUUCUUUAUGGUUGACUAUGUGAUGAAACAUUUUGGUAGCUUACAAUGUGUUUGAUGAAAUGCCUCAAUGAAGCAUUUGCUUGAUUUUUUAUUGAUAUUUGUUCGUUCGAAUUAGGAAAUCAAGGUCAAGGGAGAUGUCAUGGCUAUGGGCUGAAGCUUUGAGAAAAAGAGUAUGAAAAAUGAAAUGUGAGAUUUUAAACUUUGAUAGUGUGUAGGGUCUUUUUGUUUGUCUAUGCAUUUUCCAAAUGAAUUUUAGUACUUUUGAUUUUUCUAUUGAUAUUUUGUUUAUGGUUGCUAUUGAGUUGCUUUGAUUGAAGGAUAGAGGGAAGUGAUUAUUGAUAAUUAUAGGUAUGUUCUCUCUCCCUUUCUUACAAUAAGGAUAGUAGCAACAAAAAUUACUACAUGUUCUAUAUUGAAAGGAAAAACAAAAAAAUAAUGGUGAAUGAAGAUUUAUUUUGUAUGGUAGAAUUUUAUUUGUCACUUACCAUGCUAGAUCUUUCCAAGAGGAGUAAAUUUGAAAAUGUCGAAAUACACCCUCUGCUUGAAACAUAAACCGCGAUGUAUGUUAUACACAUUGGAAAUGUAUGAAUGUGUAUAUUGAAACUUAAGCCUAUACACUUUCCAAGAGAAUUUAUGUAUGUUAUCUAUUUGGUUUUUGGCUUUAACUUUUUGAAACUUAAGCCUAUACACUUUUUUUACCUCUACUUUUUAUCAACGUUUUUAAACUAUAUUUUCUUCCUAUGACUACCUUAUGACAUUUUGAAUAAUUGAUUGAAUUGAGGAUUAGCAUAAAGUUCUCUUACUUCAAGGACGUUGUCGUUAUUUGUUCAAGUAAGUAGUGUCUACCUCCCUACCAAAAUACAUAUUCAACUAUUGUGGUUUAAAGUAUAUUUUGUAUAAUUCUAGUCUCGUUGAAAGUGUUUUAGUCUAAUUAGUAUGGUAUAUUAGUAGUAUAUCAAUGUUUGCUUGAAUUAAUAUCAUCCAAAAUCUCCAUAGUAGUUCUUUCCUUACUUUGAAAGAUCUUGUUGUUCCUUUCCAACAAUAGUGUUGAAAAUUGGGGGGGGGGAGGCGGGAUUAAGGGCUUUAUGAGAGUUAUCAACUCAACUUUGUCAAAUUGUCAUGUAAAUGGAGUACGAUUUAAUCAUUGAACAUUUUUUCAUACUUAGGGCUUGAAGAAUCCUCGAGAGAGUGACAAUACUUGUUGAAUUUUUAUGAAAAUGCAACAUUGAAAAGGUAUUACUUAUGAGUAUUUAUGUUCAAUCUUAUUUUGUUGUGAUCAAUUGAGAUGCAUAAUAUGCACUAGAAAUUUGUUAAAGUGAUAGACUUAUAUGUUUUUUUGAUAGGGUUGGAAGGGCUCCAAGGUACGUUUUUAACUAUUGAAUUACAAUGAAAAUUGUUUGGAUUUGUUAGUUCAAAGUUUAAAUUGAGUUUAGCUUGUGAAACUCAAAGAUUUCAUUUGUAUACUGAUUAUAUAUGUUGGUGUUGAAUAGUUUAUCUUGCAUGUACCUAACAAAAAUGAUUAUGUUUGCUUGAUUAUAUUUCUAUUUGUCAAUUUUCUUAAAGGUUUUGAGUGAACUCAAGUUUAUGGUAGAUUGGGGUACAUUAAAGUUUAUUGAACUUAUUUUUCAUUGUCCCAUUACAUAAUGUCCUAUAUAAGGUGUGUAUAUAUAUAUCUUGUUAUAUUUUUUUAAUAUUUCUUAAAGUUUAUAAACCAUGGAAAGUAAGAUGAACAGUAGUUUCUCGUUAGCUUUUGUUUCUAGAGACAUGUCUUUUAUGUACAUAGUUCUCUUUAGGGUUUGUUGAAAUUGGUUUGUUGUGAAUAUCUAUGGAUUUUAUGAGAGUCACCAAAAAAAAAAAAAAAAAACACAAUGGUUUGUUUAUCCCACAUUGUUCUUGUAGUGUACCAUUUUGAUCAAUUAUGUUAAUAACAUGUUUUGAAAUUGGAGCUUCUGCGUUUUGUUGUGUCGUUUGUUUAUUGAUUAAUGGUAAUUUGUAGUAUCAAGUCUACCCUAAUCUAUUGGCAUAUUUGAGGAGAUUGUUGAUUUUUCUUCCCCUGUAUUUUACUUCUUCAAGUUAAACUAAGUGAAUAAUGAAUCCCAUUUCAUUCAUUUUUGCUAUUUGGUAUCUCAUCGUAUUUUUUUUUUUUAUUAAAAUGAAGUUUGUUUAAUGAUCAACAUUGAAAAGGUAUUGCUUAUCGGUAUUUAUGUGCAAUCUUAUUUUGUUGUGAUCAAUUGAGAUGCAUAAUAUGCACUAGAAAUUUGUUAAAGUGUUAGACUUAUCUGUUUUGUUUUUUUUUUUAAUCGGGUUGGAAGGACUUCAACGUACAUUUUGUUAAAGAAAAUUUGAUCUUUAUAUGGCUAGGUUGAUGAGUUUCCAAUUUCAAAAGUCUACCUAAAGCUCUAUUGUUUGUUUAACUCAAAGGUAAAAAAAAGUAAAGUAUGUGGACUUGCACCGAAUAGAGCCAUGGUAAGUUUCCAAUUUCAAAAGUUUACCUAAAGCUCUAUUGUUUAUUGAUGAGUUUCCAUAGAAUUUUGAAGGUUUGAGAAGAGUUGUGGAAAUUUGGGACAAUACCACCCUCCUUACUUGUAUUUAUUCUCAUUCUUAUUAAGUUUUUCUAACUACGUUUCUUUGGUCCCUCAAGGAUAUGUCAGACUGUUCAACUUUAAGGACUAAAAAUUGUCAUACAUGUAUUGUCGUAGCGUUUUUGUUGUAAGGACUAAGAACGACCCAACUUUAAGGACUACAAAUGGUUAUUUUGCUCUACUUUAAACAUUGUGAACUUUUCAUUGAUGAAAUUUGCAUACCUUGGAUAUUUUCUUUUUGAAGUACCUUUCUUAUCAUGGACAACAGUGCAGUAAGCCUAGGGAGGAGGAAACUUCUUCUUUGGCCGGUCUCACAUUUUUCAAUGUAAUAGGUUUUAACUUAAGAGUAGAGUAUGUACAGAUUCUCAGAGCUAGUAUUGACAAUGGGAUGAUAAACUAAAUUUCAUCGAAGAAGAGUUAACCAAAGAAUAGCUAAUGUUUGUUACUAUAUUUAAUUUUGAGAGUUUUAUUGCAAGAAACAAGGGUGAGAGAGUGUUUUGCAUUCUUAUACUUGAAGCAUCGAUCUCAUCUCACUUCUUGUUUUUCUGCUUGUCAUGUAAGCUUCGAUCUCAUCUCACUUCUUCCAUCGUGUACAUGUUUGAAGAAACCUCAACCCAAGUAACUAGGAAAAAUUAGUUUGUGGGAAUUACUUGUGAGAACAUGAUUAUAUAUUUCAUGGUUGACAUUUUGCAAUUGACAUUUUGCACGUACAAAUGAACACCAUCAUUUAUAUUCAUGAAAAAUAUUCAGGAGUGGUUGUAUAUAUAUUGGUUUGAUGUGCCCUAAACCUCAACCCUAUCUAGUGCUUUAUGCACACAAACACACACACUUGAACUAUCUGUAUUUGUCUCUUUUUGUCUCCAUGAAUAAUGAGAAGCCAAUACAAACAGAUGAAUUUUCUGUUUGGUUCUCUUUCUCUAUCUCGAUGUUGGGAAAAAGCUAAAUAUUUGAGGCAUUGAUUUCAGGAAUUGGUGCAAGGGUUUGAUCAAGAGGCUGCUGCAGUUGUUGUGGCAAGAUUAACUUCAUCAAAAAUGGAGAUGGAGGUAUUCUUAAAUGCUUAUAUCCCUAAAAAUGCUUAUAUCACUUAUACUUAUUCGUUUACGUCACCAAUAAUUCUCUUCAACAUUUUACAUUCACAUUACUACAUGGUAGUCCUCCAUUUUCUUCUUUGUUGUGGUAAUGUUGGUUCACAAAUGUAUGUGUUAUGGAUGCUUAUAUUCAUGUUGUCUUUGUAGGUUCAACCGGAGUCGACAACUUCAUUAGUUUUCUUUCAAAGAACAUUUUCAAAGACGAACAUUCUCGGUUGGUCGUUUAUGCUUCUGCAGAAAAUCUUGUUAGAUGUAUUCUAAUGCUAUUUAAAAUAUUUUUUGAUUAAGGGUUGGGAUUUCGUACUUGUAAAUUAUUGACACUUGAUUGGAAAUGUACGAAUAUUAUAAAUUGUAUUAUAUCGUAUAUAUAUUAAAGUGUUGGCUACUUUUUUCUAUAUGGGUGUCAAUAUUAUAAAUUCAAAAUUAUCACUCUCAGCUACAUUAUUGUCAUUCAAAUGGUUCGUGUAAUGGUGGAGCGGCAAGGAGAACCGGAAAAAACUGUAGUAAAUUGAGAAAUUUGCAACAUAAAAUAAAUGAUUAAUUAUUGUCAAUCCGAAAACAAUGACAGUUGUUUAAUCAAAUAAACUGUCACGAUUACCCUAUAUGUGACAAAAAAAAUGUCGUCAAUAGCAAAACAAUGACAUUUUUAUACAAAAAAAAAAAAACUGUCGUGAUUAACAUAUUCAUGACAAUUAAAAAAUGUCACAAUAAAUGAAUUCGCGACAUUUAUUUAACCGUCGUUAAUACACAAAUGAUGAUAGUUAUUUGUUGUCAUAAAAUAAAAUAUGACAGUUAUUUGACGUCGUUGAAUUCUGAUUAACGACAUUUAUUUCAUGUCAUAAAAUAACUUAUUGCGACAGUUUUUAAAAACUGUUAUUGAAGGACUUUCCAUGACACCCGCUUCUAUGACUGAAAAUAACUGUCGCGAAUUUCGUUUACGACAGUAAAUAACUGUCGUCGUAGACCACUUUUGUACUCUCCACCUUGGCGAGAUGACUUCCAUCACUUAUGUCCCGAAAGGAUAACAAGUGUGGGUACUUGGCGCCGAGAAGUUGACACCCUUAAAAGAGAGGUACUAUAAAUGUUGUAAGGUAAAUCCUCCUAGAUGUAUCUCGCUUACACUCAAGCAGCUUUAUCAUUUGCAUCUCGAGAGGCGAGCAAGUGUGGCGUUUAAAACACUAAGAGGUGCUCGCCUUAAUUAUAAGCUAGUUAAUUAAUUAAGUUGUAUUGCAUCAAGGUUGCCGCACAACUUAAUCACCUAAUAACACAGAGACUUUCCUUCACCCCUUCUUACAUACAAGUUAGUUCACAUGUUCACAUCUCACCUCCAUUCUAAUUUUCCUUUUACAAGUCCUCUAGUGUAGAUAAGUAGGUAUAGUUUCAACUUACACUUUAUUAUACUGUAUAGACAGUAAAGGUUAUAUACUGCCCAAAUGACAAGAGUGAAUUCUAGAACUAAACUUUGAUAUUAAUUCUCUAUGUUUGAUCCUAGAUUACCCAUGAAACUCAUUGUUUUGCUUACACUUCUUGGAUAAGCAAUUGAAAAACUUGUACUCAACGAGAACGUAGUAUUUACAUGAGGAUGGGAUACAUAGUGAGCAUUAUGCACGUAAUGAUCAUGAUCAAUGACUCACCACGUAGAUUUAGAUAUAGACAUACAGAACACUGCACAACUGAGUUUGAACAAACAAGUAGUGCCCCUAUAGACAACAUCUUAACACUAUUCUUGUAUAUAGGAGCAUUCUAUCUUCCUAAGAUUUCUAGCUACAACAUUCCUUGAUAAGACUCUAAUGCUCCAAAUUGUUUCUUUGGAUUUUGAACAUUCCUAAAUAUAUAUGGUCCGAAUCAUCAACUAAAUCUCUCAAGCACGUGAACCACUCAAAUGAAUCCUAAACUAUGAAAAUCUAAAGCAUAAGAGAACAGAAUGACAUUUUUGUAUGGUAUGAAAGUUGAACCAAUUUUUUUAAUGGUUGAUUAGAUUAUGGAAAUAUUUUAGCUUUCUUUACAAGGUAAGAGAAAGAAAAAACAAACCCUAAUUAAUAAUUUAAAAAAAGAAACAAUAUAUAAAAGAAGAAGAGAGGAUUUGCAAAUUUUUGAUGACUUAAGAUCGUAUAAUAAGUCAAAGAAAGAUUUCUUGAGGAACCGUCCAAACAACAAAAAGCCACCACAAAAUUUCCACUUUUUUUUUUGUAUGAUCUUCCUCCCAUUUUACCUUUUUCUUUUCAGAUUCUAUAUCUGAUUUUUCACUUUUAUUAUAAAAUUACAACAACACCCACCACUUUUUUUCUGACCAUAAUACCCCUCUCCAACUUUUUUCUAUUUUCCUUUUCUUCUAUCAAGUUAGGACUUUAUGGGGAUAGUCAAUCAAAGUUGUUAUUGUUGAUUAAUGCAUGUCAACAACUAUUUUCAUUUCAAAAUUAUGAAACCCUUUUGGUACUAUAUAUUUUCUAAUGAUAGUCUAAAGCUUGGUGUUUUGUUGCUCAAGAUAGACAAUUCUCCCAUUAUGUAGGCCAUUUAUGGGAUAAAAACAUAUAUACUAAUUUAUACUAUUUACAAUAAUAUAUCUCUGCCUUUAUUAUUGCGAUUAAAUAAUAGUAAUUUUAUUACAUCUCAAAAUUUGUAAAUGUACAACUCAAUUGCAAUCAUAUUUUCAACAUAUAUUGCUUGCAUUAUUAAUUUAUUCUACCUAUUUUAUAGUAUGUAAUCUCAUAUCCAGUCCAUUAUUUUUUACAACUAUGCCUGAUUAAUAAUUAUAUGACAUGAUGCAAUCAUAAGUAUUUUUGUGAUAAUACGAGUAGGUGUUUGUUAGUAUAAGCAUUUUAAUCUUUGUUAUCAUCACAUUUAAUUUAUACAGACAUAUAUAUCUACUUGUUUUACUCGUUGAAUUAACUCCAACAACUUUUAUAGAUUAUGACCUAAUAUAUAUAUGUAUAUUUAUUCUCAACCCUAUUAUUACCCUAAAUAUUUAUCAUAUACUUUACUUUUCAUAUCUUUUAAUGACACAUGUAAUGUUUGGGGAGAUAAUGUAGAUAGCUAUAGCUUAGCAAAAGUAGACCCACACAAAAACAUAGUAUUUACAAAGGACAUUGUAGUAAUUUCACUCAACCCCAUUUAGAGCAUCUUCCAUAUAUACAUACUUAAAUGUCAAGUUUUUUUUUUUCUUUUUUUUUUUUUAUUGUUAUUCUUCUUAGGUUCUUAGACAAUUACAAAUGUGUAUGGAAUUUUUCAAAACCCUCUUUUCCCCCAUUAACUUUUAUUGAAGCUUCUUCACCUUCUCUCUCUCUCUCUCUCUCUCUCUCUCUCGUCCUUCUUAGGUUUUGUUGCUGGUUAAUGGAUAUUGAACCCUUGUGGGGUGUUGGGGGGUGGUUUUUUUUCUUAAAUUGCAUGGCAACUGCUUCACAGAAACAAUCUUCAUCUCAUUUUUUCGUUCUCUUUCUCUCUCUUUUCUUCUCCUUCCUCCUUCUUCUAACCCUCAUUUCCUCUCCUCCUUCCAUGGCCUCAGACCGCCAUCACCGCCUUCUCUCUGCCUCCUCCACUGCCUUCCAUCCAAAGAAAUCUCGACCUCGAACAACCUCCCCUGCUACCGUUGUCGGACAGUUCGGAGCUGAAGCCCAUGAAGUUCCUAGUGGUCCAAACCCUAUAUCCAACUAAUUAUGGGGAAAGAACAAAGGCAAAAAAAAAAAAAAAACAUUUGGCAGAGGUUUGAUGUUUUUAUGUUUUGUUUAAUUGUCGCUGCUGAUGAUGCUGUCUUUAUUUUUUAGUUUUUUUUUCUUUUUGUGUUAUUUUAAUUGUAUAGCGACAAAUAUACUGCAGCGUUCUUCUUCUUUUUCUUCUUCUUUCUUCUUUCUUCUUUCUUCUUUCUUCUUUCUUCUUUCUUCUUUCUUCUUUCUUCUUUCUUUUUUCUAUUUGUAUGUAAUAGCCUCUAUUUCUUGCAUAUAUAGAAGGUGAUGGUUUGGAUAUUAAUUAUUGUAUUAAAACUCUUUUAAUUAUUAGAGAUUUUUGAGAGUUUAAUUUCUUGUACGUGUUUUUCAUUGACCAUAUAUUAAAGAAUUAAACUUUUCUUGGCUUUUAAUUUAACCUAUAUAUAUGUUUGAGUUUAGAGGUAAUUUAUUAUGUAUACAUUGGUUUUCGAAUAUUCACAAUUUCUAAUUUUGUUGAUAAGCUUUUCGAAUAUUAUUUAGCUUUAGAGAAUGAAUUAAUUAGCGUAGAAUGUUUUGAGUUUAACUUUCUAGAAUUUUAUUUUCUAAAAUUUAUAUAAUUAACUCCUGCAUUUUUGUUCUCUCGUAGCUCAAGUUAAUUUUCAAGAAUACAAAAGUCUUUUAUUGUGAAAUCUAUGCCAGAGUUUUGAUUUCAAAUCUCUAUCUUAUUAAAGUUAAUGGUUUUUUUUUUUUUCCUUUAAGGUAGGAAUGGUAAUGAGAAGAUUUAAACUAUGGAAUAUCUUAAGUCUCAAAACAUCUUCUUGUCCAAGCCUAAGCUUGCUUUGGCUAUUGUGAAAUCUUUAAUUGAUAUCAACUUUUGAUGUAUUUACUUUAAGAUUAAAUUAAUAAACUUUUCAAAAUGAUAUUAAAUAUUACUCAAUUUAAUUAUCAUAGUUUUAAAUCUUAUUCAUUGCCACUGGUAGUGUACUAAUCCCUUUAUGGUCAAAUGAACAAGGUCUCUCAUUAAGAGAGUGUAAAAAAAAGAUAUGGGGAAUUGUAAUUCAAUUUUUUUAAGACAAUAUAGAAUUAGUUGUUAUGUGACAACUUUAAGUUAAAUUAAUCAGUGAAACGGAACAAAAAGGAAAAAAAAGAUACAACCCAACCAGUACCUAUAAGUACUUUCCAAAACAUAUUACAUACGUAAAAUUCUACCUAAAAACCUAUUAACUCCAAGGUGUUCAAUGCUUGAACUUUUGUUGCAUAUAAUAUUUAAACCCAUGAUAUAUAUUUAAAGUUUACAUAUAUAUAUGUAUAUUUGAAAGAUGAAUGAAUAAUUAGAGAAUCUAAUACAGAAGGGGGGGAUUUAAAUGUGAAAGUUUGGUAAAGAAUAAUAUAUAUAAAGCAGUGAAGGAGAAGAGGAGCAGAACUGACAAAGGGCAGAGAGAGAGGACCCCUUUUGUUUUUGCCAUGGAAAUUAAAUUAUUUGUACAACUUUUGAGACUUUGGCUUUUUGUCCUCUCUAAUACACAUUAUCCGAUAAAGUUGAUUAUUGAUACCACAAUCAAUAAUUUAUAUAUAUUAUAAUAUAUACUAGAGAGAGAAAAGAGGAUGUGAGGGAAACUAAUGAGACCCAAAUAAGCCUAUGAUUUGAUAAUAAUGAGGAUUGUCAUUUUACUGUUUUUGUUGAAAAACUUGAGAUAAGUUGUCUGCAAUCAUAGGUUUUAUCAGUCUUACCUAAUUAUUACACAUUAGUUUUUCAAUUCUUAUUUUGUCUUUUACUUUUAAUAAUAUAAUUUUUUAUUGUUUUUUCUUUAAAAAUUAACUUAUGGCAGCUAGACAAACAUACAAGUAUAAUCUUGCAUUAACAGCAGUUGAGGACAAUCAACAAGGUUAAGAUGGAAGCCAACAAGCCUCUUAAUUUUCCAAAUUAAAUGGAGAAGGUUGAACAAUGAAAUUAGAUUACAACACACGAGCUAGUACGUGAGCAACAAAAUUACACACAAAUGAUUUGUUACAAUAAGAGACAAUAUAAUUUUGUUGUGUUGUAUAUAUAAUUAGUAAUGGUAUUAUGGCAUAUCAAUAUAUACUUACACCAAACUUGAUUAAUAUUACAAUAAAGACUUUUUAAACUAAUAAUUAUAUCAAUUUAAAUUAUAAAUUUUCAAACAUUAAAACAACAAAGAAUAAGCUAAAUGUCUUCGACAUUCAACUCAACAUAUGAAUUGCAAAAUUCAAUCUCUCUUAACUAAUACUUAAAAAAAACACAAAAUUA